Molecule: long non-coding RNA, 46682 nt
Filed under: Ananas comosus (pineapple)
Lineage: Eukaryota; Viridiplantae; Streptophyta; Magnoliopsida; Poales; Bromeliaceae
Description: long non-coding RNA (ACOM_LNC023740)
Source: RNAcentral
AUUUUAUUUAUUUUAUUUAAAAAUAUUUAAAUUUUUUUAAAAAUAAAAAUAUUAAUAUUAAUUUUUUAAAAAAUAAUAUAUCAGUAAAAAAAUUAAAAAUUAAAAAUAUAUUUAUAAAAAUAUUAAAAAUUUAAAUUAUUUUAAAAUUUUAAAUAUUUUUGACCAAAAUACUCUCCCAACAGUCAAAUUUUUGACUGUUGAGAAGGGCAAUUUAGUCCAAGCCCAACUCUCAAAGCCACGGCCCAACUCUUUGACUCUUGGGAGUCCCAAAGCAACAGCCCAACCUCCGCCCGGCUCGAGAGGGCGUGGCCACACGGACCGGGCCGUGCCGUGCCGGGCCGGGCUUGGAUACCCUUUAGGCCCCAGGCCUAUGUCGUGCCCGGCCAUCAGGCCGUAGAAGCAAGGCCCAGCAUGGCCCGAUUUAACUGGUCGGGCCGGGCCGACACGGCACGCUACAGUACUCAUGCCGUGCGUGGCCCGACCCACUGUCGUGCCGGGCCGGGCGAGCCGUGGGCCGCCCGGCCCGUUUUACAUCCCUAGGUGUAUCUGAAGUUUUUUGUAUAUGAUUUAACAAAAUAUUAACGGAAAAGCUAAUGAAAAAAAAAAUAAAACCACAGGAUAGUAACUUGAUACACUUUAAAUCAGAUGGCACUAAAGUGAGAACGUGCAAAACCACAGGAAUGGCAUUUGAAGUUUGUCCUAAAAAUUAAUUAAAGAAUUAGAAACAAGAAAUUGACCUGAUUAACAGCAGGGGGAAUUUGUGCAGAGGAGAGCAAUGCUUGGAGCUUCUUGGAAGAGAAAUUGCUCACUCCAAUGGCUUUUGUUAAGCCCAAUCUCAAGCACUCCUCCAUUGCCUCCCACACGGAUUUCAUGUCGAAGGGCUCGAUCUCAUCCUUGGGAAAUGGGAACUCAUACUUUCCCGGCUUAACCGUCAUGGGCCAGUGAAUGAGGUAGAGAUCAAUGUACUCCAUUUGAAGGUUCCUGUAAAUAAUAAUAAUAAUAAUAAUAAUAAUAAGAUAAAAAUAUAUAAAAUUUAUCUGAGCUUGAAGUCACCGUCUAAAAUGUUAUAGUCGGAUUAAAAGGUACAGUCUUAUUGUAUUUUACAUAGAUGAGUAUUCCAAAUUUUAGAAAUGUCACAUUAAUUUCUUCCACCUUUAAACUAUGACAUUUUCGUUAGACUCAAGCACACUCUCAGGUACCGUACAAUAUGAGACUCGACUCUCUAGUCCUUAUCUGCUGUAUGAUCCUAUCUCAGCGGAGACUGAUAUCACUUUUUCAGGCUGGUGAUUGAUUCUGAUGCCAUACGCUCUACUUCCCAAUGAGUCACACAAAUUCUAGAACUGUUCUAACUCUAGCACGUUUAAUCCUUUUAAUCUUUCGGAUCUAAAUGCCGUCCAAAAUAUUAUAGCCGAAUUAAUAAGUUUAUUCUAAAUCCUGGAAGGUAUCACAACUUACAAACUCCUUUUGUUUUAUGUGGUAUAUAUUGUUUGUCGGAUACCUAACAUGCACAUGAGUGAGAGACUUACAUACAGGGAUAUAAAACGGGUCAAGCGGUCUGUAGGCCGCCCGGCACAGCCUUGUGCCAGGCUGCAGCACGGCACGGGUGCUGUAGCAUCCGUGUUGGCUCGGCUUGAAAUUAUGGAUCGUGCUGGGCCUCUUCCUUUAGACUCGAUGGCCCAACACAGCCCGGCCCGAAAUUGAUCUGGACCGUCGAGAGGCUUGCAGCCUAGACCCCAAAGCAAAGGUAACUUAUCGGGCCUUGGGGUCUGAGCUCUCCUCCUGUUGCAGAUCUUGGGAGGAGUAAUUUUGGUCCAAUAGACCAAAUAAUUUUGGUUCAUUGGACCGAGAUCUCCCUCUUAACUUUUAAAUUUUUUAUCAAUAAUAUUAAUUUAAAUAAAAAUAAUUUUUAUAUUUUUUAAAAAAAUAAAAAAUAAAAUUUUUAAAUGGUCAGCAUGGAGCAUGGCCCGAGACGUACUUGUGAGCAAGAGACUUGGAAUAUAGCUCCGGCCCAACAAGGCCCAUCUCGGAUUUGAAGCCAGAACGGCUCCUAGUCCGUUUCGACCUGACUAAUGUGGACAAAAUGUUUGUGAGCGAGAGUGUUAAAACUAAUUCUGAACAAUUUUUUGGAUAAUAAUUAACUACAAGUACUAAGAAACAGCAUCCAUGACCAAAGUUCUAAGGAGAAUUUAAGUAAUUAGUUAAUCCUCUCUCUCACAUGAUUCAUGCUCUCGUAUCAUAUUAAAUUAUAUAAAAAUAAUUUUUUAAUAUUUGGGUAAACUUCAAUUUGCCUCCAUGUGGUUUAGUGUAAUUUUACUUUAUUAUCCUGUAUUUUUAAAGCUACACUUAAUUACUCUAUAAUUUUAUUUUUAUUUCAUCAAAAGAAUUUGCUGCCAAAUAGAGUAGCAAAGUAAAAAUUUUUUAAAACCACAGAAUGAUACUCUGUUUAAUAAUAGAUCUAUACGAUAAAAAUAAAAUUAUAUAAUAGUUAAGUACAAUUUUUUCAGGGAGGGAGUGGCAAAGUGAGAAAAAACUAAACCAUAGGAGAGUAAUUUAAAGUUUUCCUUUAACAACCUUACAUUCAAUGAAACUGCUCACUCUAAUAUAUCUUGAAUGGUUAAAAUUAAUCAUAGAAGAACACAAGGAUGAUAUAUUCUAUUUACCCAAAAAAAAGAAAAAGAAAAAGAAAAUGCUUUUUGUAUACCCUUAAAAAAGGGUGUAGAUCUUAAUUACACCUUUAUCCUAGGAUUGAUAAAAACUCAAAUAGUUUUAGUAAAAUUAAAAAAAAAAAAAUUGAUGUGAUAAAUAAAGUAUUAAUAGUCCUGGAAUAAAUUCGGUGUAAGCGGGGGUGGAGGAUGUUAUGAUCUUACUGAAGAGUCUUUCUCAGCGCCGGCACGACGCGGUCGCAACGCGCGUCGCUGCACCACAGCUUGGAGGUGACGAAGAGCUCGUCCCGCGUACCGAUGACCCCCGACCGGACGGCCUCAGACACCGCCUCGCCAAGCGGCUCCUCGGACUGAUACAAUGCAGCAGUGUCGAAAUGCCGGUACCCUAACUUGAUGGCGUGCAAUAUCGCCGACUGCGUGGCCUCCGACGACACGAAAGGGUACGCCGCCGUGCCCAUGCCGAUGCGCGGCAUCGCCUUUGACGAGGAGCCUGAGCUCAAACACACCUCUGGGAUUCUUGUUUCCAUACUGUUUCUGGAGUUAGCAGUACUGUAUGAAAGAUCUCCUGCUUCUCCUACAUACUUGUUCGUCUAGUUUCUAUGUAUUUAUAGUGCUCUUGUAUGUGUUAAGUACUGAGAAAAUCUUUAUAUAAGCACUAAAAAUAGUUACUGCAUGGUAGCAGUAGGCAUAUGCCGUUGAAAAUACAAUAAUUAUAAUUAUUUGCAUCUUGUUUAGUGAGAUAUAAUUAGAAACGUCACAACUAUAAAUAACUUAUUGGUUAUACACGACCAAGAAGUGCAUUUAUGGAAAUUUCUCAUUUUAUAUAUGAAGUGAAUCAGGUUAUGAGAUUAUUCUAUACAUAUGAACAAAAAUUUAUUAUAAAUUACUUUUGUUUAGAAUUACUCUUUCAACCGCUGCUGUUAGAAUUAUGACCAAUGUGUGGUCGUUUCAACCACUGCAGUUGAGGCUCCUCGUGCAGUUCCAACUGGAGCAGUUAAAUCCAAAUGCAUCAAAUUAACUAAACAGUGAAUUUAAAUUUACAUGUAUUUUAUAAUUGCAUAUAUGUAAGUGCACUAGUAAUUCAUGGCCUUCUUUAUUCAUUACUUUGGAUCCAACAAUUUUUAAACAAUGAGAAAAAUGCUAGGUUGCAGAGAUUGAAUAGGGUGGAGAAAUUAUUCCCUGCUCUUGGUGUAUAAGUAUAUUCCAAUGUUAAAAUCAAAAUUUAAUAUGAAGGAAACUUUAAAGAUCCUAUAUAUAAAAAUCUGAAAGCUUAUAACUUAACUUAAGCAUUAAAUAGUUUAAUUAGUAAAUUAACAGUGGAGCAUGGGCCAUUGUUUGGUUUGCAAGAAGGUAAAAGCAUAUAUAACUUAUCUGAUUAUAGACCAUUUUAAAUUAACUACUCAAUUUUUCAAAAUUUUGAUUUUAUUACUAAAUUUUUCAUUUUGUUUGAUUUGAAUCAAUCAAUGAUAUUUUGAUUUCAGAAAUUUGAAUAUGUUGUUUAUUUUUAUUGAGUUUAGUUAGUAUACUUUAUGCAAUUAUUGCAAAUAUAUAUUCAUUAAAAUAAGUAAUUAGCAUAAAUUUUGAAGUCAAAUUAUCACUGACUCAUCAAAAAUCAAACAAAUUGAAAAAUUGUAUAGUAAAAUCAAAAGUUUAAAAAGUUAGAUAGCAGAUUCUAAAUGGUCAAUAGUUUAAAUAAGUUAUGUAUAUUUUUGCAUUAUAAUAAAUCAACCCCUAAAUUUGUGAUUUUUGAUAUAUGUAGGCAUUUUAAAUAUCUAAAACACAUGCAUUCGAUGGAUACAAGUUGGAUUUUUAUUUGAUAUUGAGUUAUAUAACUGUGGGGUCUGAGAUGUACAUCCCGUGCAGCUAGAUGUAGGCUUGGGGUGGGCAUAGUUUGUUUGGGCUGAUAGAAAAAUUGAAACCGAGCAGGCCAUUAAUUUUUUUCGAUUUGAGAAAAAUAAAAUUAAAAUUAAAAUAAUAUAUACCAAUGGUGCAAAAAACCAAAUAGAAACCACACUGAAAUUUUUGGUGUAGUUGAUCUUUCGAUUCUUAACCCAAAAUCAAAUCAAAAUUUUAAUUUUAAUUUUUUUAACAUCAAAUUUAUACUAUCUGUAAUCAAAAUUGAACCAAACCAAAUUGGAAUUGUUGGUUUGAUUUGUUUCAUGGUUUUGUGUAGUCCCAAUGCUCACCCUAGUGCAGGCAAAAACUGUUGGCUUAAAUGGGCCAACAUCCUACACUGUGACGGGAGACCAUAUAGAUCGAGUCAUGUUCGAAAUGGCGUAAGACUGGGUUGGGCUGAGUCAUAUUCGAAGUGGCGUGAGGCUGGUUGGACCGAGUCACAAUCGAGACCUGUGGGCGCUAUUUCUGUAUGCUUUAAGUGAAUUGAUUGUGUAUUUCUAACAGCUUGAGCUUUUAGGAUUAAUGGUUAGCACCAACAAUCCGACACGUGGUAUUAGAACCAAAAGUCACUAAUUUGAUUCCCGCAUGCUGUAAAUAUGUUCAGCUGCUGGAUGGGGGAUUGUUGGCUUAAAUGGGCCAACAUACCUCUCUGUGGUGGGAGGUCAUGUGGACCAAGUCACAAUCGACACCCGUGGGCACUGUAUCUGUACGGUUUAAAUAUCCGUGGGCGCUGCCUUUGGAAUUAAUGGUUAGCAUCAACGAGCUAACAAAAACCUCUCAAGUGAUAACAAAUCCUCUCUCUCUCUCUCUCUCUCUCUCUCUCUCUCUCUCUCUCUAAUGAGGUCCACGAGAAUACUCCGAUUCUAAUUAAAACUUUGAAAACCACAAUAUUGCUUCUCGUGCUUAAUUGUUAAACAUAUUGGUGUUAUCUAAUUAAAUUAUAGUACAUGUAUAGUACGCUUAUUGUGCAAAACCUAAUAUAUAUUUUUUAAUUAGUAUUAUUUUAUAUAAAUAGUAUAUUUAUUGUACAAAUAAUUAUGUACUAACUCUCUCUCUCUCUCUAAUGAGGUCCAUGAGAAUACUCCGAUUCUAAUUAAAACUUUGAAAACCACAAUAUUGCUUCUCGUGCUUAAUUGUUAAACAUAUUGGUGUUAUCUAAUUAAAUUUUAGUACAUGUAUAGUACGUUUAUUGUGCAAAACCUAAUAUAUAUUUUUUAAUUAGUAUUAUUUUAUAUAAAUAGUAUAUUUAUUGUACAAAUAAUUAUAUAUAGUACAUUAAUUGUACAUUCUAGUACGAUUCUUAAAGAUAUAAUGUAUUAACUUUAGGGUCAAUUUCAGCCCCUCUAAACUUCAAAAAUAUCAUAGAUGCCCCUAUAAAUUUGAUUAUAUCACAAUUAUCCCUACAAAUACUUAUUAUUUUUCAAAUAUACCCUUACCCUUACUAUUCAUCUCUUUAUAGAAUGAUAAAAUAUUUAGAUUAUCAUAAAUAUGGUCAAAAUGUCCAUUUUGCCCUUAACUUCUAAAAUUUUUUACAAAAGUAUUUUAGCAUGAUAUAUUUAUUUUAAAAUAUUAAAAUAAAUAGUAAAAUAUAUCAUUUUACUGCUGUGUGGUUUAUAAAAUAAGAUACUUUAUAUCAUUUAUUUUAAAAUUCGAGAUGUCAAAGCACAUAAAUUUGUACUAAUUCAAAUAACUUAAUUCACAUCAUGCAUAUAUAUUUAAGUUAUAUUUUGAAUAAAUUGUUUAACCUUAUUUUAAGGAGUCAAUUGAUACUUUAAACAAUUUUUUGCUAAAUUUUUUUCAAAUGAUUUUUUUUUUAUUUUUAGCUUAACUUGUCAGGAUUAUAUAUUCUUUUUUAAUUGACAAAAAACUUAUCUCUAAAUAUGGUUAUUUAUAAAUUUUAAAGAGUGUUUUAUAAAAAUAUAAAUGGUUUUAUAGUCAAAUUAAAUAUUUAAGAUGGUAAUGACAAUAAGGGCAAAGUGGAAUUUUGUUUGUUGUUUAUUCAAAUUGAAUAUAAAUUAGUGUAAAGGUUAUUUUUGAAAGUUUCUCCCUUUAAAAGUUAUUUAUGAUAUUUCAAUUUUUAUACGGGCAUUCAUGAUAUUAGACUUAUUUGGAAGGGUAUGAUGAAAUUUUCCCUUAACUUAUUACUGGCGCAUUUUUUGCAUUUAGACCCCUGACAAAUUUUUUUUAAAAAUAGCCCUGUCAUAAUUUAAUUUGCAAAAAUGCCCUGAGCCUGCCACACAGGCGCCACGUCAGUGCAACGCGGCCGGGCUGGGCCCGGUGUAUUAAGUGAACACGGUGAACCAUUCACCGUGUUCAAACACGGUGAAUGGUUACCGUGUUUAGUACGUAUUUUUUCGCCACGUAUUUUUGUAUAUUGAAAAGUAAAUAAGGAGUAGGGAUUCAAUAGAUUAUGGAUAUCCGAAAUAUUAUCCGAAUUCAAAACCGAAUAUAUAUAUAUAUAUAUAAUUUAUUUUAUUUAUUUAUACAAUAUAAAAUAUUUAAUAAUUUUAUUUCUUAAAUCUUCAUCCAAUCCAUCGGGUUUUAAAAAUCUAUACCGUUGGAUAAAGAUCUAAGGAAUAAAAAUUAUUAAAUAUUUUAUAUAUUGUAUAAAUAAACAAAAAUAAAUUACGUAUAUAUAUAUAUAUAUAUAUAUAUAAUUUAUUCGGGUUUGGAUUCGGAUAAUAUUUCGAAUUUUCAUAUCUAUUGACAUCCCUACUCCUUAUUUCACUUUUCAAUAUACAAAAAAUACGUAAGAAACACGGUAAACCAUUCACCGUGUUUAGACACGGUGAAUGAUUUACCGUGUUCAACUUAAUACCCUGGCCCCAGUCCUGCCCGCGUAGCGCUGACGGGGCGCCUGCGUGGCAGAGAGAGGGCCAUUUUUGCAAUUUUAAUUUUGAUAGGGCUAUUUUUAAAAUAAAAAUUGCUCAGGGGGCUAUUUGCAAAAAAACCCCUUUAUUACUUCAAAAAUUCCUGAAACUUGCAUUUUUUUUAAUUGUAUAUUUAUUAGACGAGAUCCACAAUUUCUUUUAAUACUUCAUUUUCGAUGUACUUCUCAAUGCAAAAUAAUUAGAUGUUUAAGGGAAAAUUUUGGCAACAUAUAAAAACUCCAUAUAAUAAUAACAAAUAUGUUUCAUGCGACAAAUUAAUAAUGCACACAAAUUUUCUAUAAAAUUUGCAAAUACGUCCUAAAGUUUAGAUAAAUUGCAAUUCGCUUAAUUUUUUUUAUUUAAAUGAAAUUAUACAUGAAUUUGUCUAGUUCCUUGCAAUUAAUACCAUCUUUGAAUUUAUUUACCCUCUUUAGAUUAAAUUUUACAUAAUUUAUUUCCCUUUGGUUAUCAACUUAUGAUUUUAAAAUUUCAAUGUUAUGAUUUACCGUUUAAUACGGUAUAUAGUACGAUGACAUAAUUUAUAAAUCACUUUAUAAUACAUUUAAUAUUAAGGGCUAAGCUUAUGUACUUCCGAAAGCACGAAGGUCUCUGCACUUGUAAGUUAUUUUUAUUGAUGGAAUAUCCGAUUCGACGAUUGGCUUCAUUAGAUAUGACCUACGCUAUUAAAAUUAUUUAGAAAUCAAAUUUCAUAAUUUUUUUUAUUUCUUUUAUCUAGUGCUAGAGUAGUCUCAAAAUAAACGGCUACAAAUAAAAAUCUCAUAAACAUCAGCGAUAAAAAACUCAAAUUUUAAAUCAGAAGUAUUGUUCUUGUUCUUGAUAUUCAGUAGAAUUUUUUAUUAAAAUUCAUAUAAUUUAGAUUCUUCUACGUUGUUGAAUUUACACACCCGCCACAUCCUUUAAUUACUUAGUAAAUAAUGUUAGAAAAUUAUAAAAUUUAGUUUCUAAAUAGUUCUAAUAACGUAGAUUAUAUUUAGAAAAAAUUUCAAAUACCAUCCAUGUGGUUUCAUACUUUCUUACUUUAGUACCUUGUGGUUUAAAGUGUAUCAAUUUAGUAUCCUAUGGUUUUAUUUUUAUCUUUUCGUCAGCUUUUCUGUUAAUAUUUCGUUCAAUUAUAUACAAAAAAAACUUUAGAUACCACAAAAAUUGGUAGAAUCAAUGAUAAAAAGAUAAAAAUGAAACCACAUGAUACUAACUUGAUACACUUUAAACCACAUGGUACUAAAGUGAGAAAGUGCAAAACCACAAGAAUGAUAUUUGAAGUUUAUCUUGUUAUUUAAUAGAGCUGAUCGUUGAAUCGAAUAUCCGAUUAUCAAAACAACUAACAAGCACAAAAGCCUCCUUGCUUUCAAAAAUGCAGGAGACGUACUCUAAUGUUAAUAUCAUAAUUUUAGAAAUGACGUACUCUAAUGUUAAUAUCAUAAUUUUAGAAUUUCUAAUUUAUUAUCUUGUGGUUAGUAAAAUAUAUUAGAUUCUUACGAUAAAAUAGAAGUAAGAUUACUAAAAAAGUGUAAUUUUUAAACCUUAUAUAAAUCAAAAAGGGGUAAUUUGAAGUUUACACAAAAAUUUAAGCUUCGAAACUAAAAUUUGAGCCGAUCCUUAGGGAGCGAACUAAGUAACCGAGUGGUCGGUCCACAGCUGACGUGGUGGACCAAGUCCAGAUGAGUAUUACUUACUUAUCCUGGUAAAAGGCCCGGUCCAAUAAGAGCGUGGACCGGGCUCCGUUCGGUCCAAUCAGAGUCAACGGGGUCAAUAUGCGUGGGCCCACUUUAAGCCCAAAAAGGACCUAGUAAUAUAAGGUGGGCCAACCUAAACGGGCCGGGCUUAUUCUAAAAGAAGAGUAAAAAUGCACAGGAACACCUCAGCUAUACGCAAUUUUGAAAUGGAUUCUCAACUAUUUUGCGUUCCUUCUUAAUACUUUUUAUAUAUUUUUUUGGUUGAUCUAAGUUAUAUUCAUUGAUUGUAAAUAAUAUUUUAUCGGAGUAGCAGCAGUUUUAUCGAACAAGUUUUUUUUUUUUUUUUUUUUUUUUUUUUUUUUUUUUUUUAAGAUGGCUAAACCGUGAAUUUUUAUUAAUCAUUAGCUAUUGAUAAUUGGACCAUUAAUUUCAAUGAUUUUUAACUUAAUAUAUAAAAAUAUUUUGAAUUGAAACAGUUCAUAUAAACACUUGAUAAGGGGGAUUCUGAAGUGACUGGGUAGGGUUGGCAAUCUAUCUCGUUGUACGCGAGCUGGCUCGUGUUUAAUUCGAAAUAAACUCGAGAUCGAUUUAUUUGUUUAAUAAACGAAUAGAAUACGAACUAAAUUUUUUAACUUAUAUCUUAAUCCCGAACACGAGCGUUCCACUUACUCGCGUUUGCCUCAUAUAUAUUAUAUUUAUAUAUAAUAUGCAUGUAAAAUAUAAAUUUUAACUAUUAAAAAUUUAAAUUUCGAUCUAUAUACUGAUUAACUCAAUUUGAUAAACUAAUCGAGCUAACGGGCUGAACACAAGUCAGCUCGUUUUACUCCAAUUCGAUCAUAAGCUGGGCUUUUUAAGCUCGUCACGGGCUCGAACUAUACAUGAGCCUCUCUCAAAUAGUUUCAAGCCAAAUAUGAGGCAGCUUCACUUCGCUCGUUUUUGUUUUAUCCAUAGCUUUAUAACCUACAAAGUAUGAUUUAGUUUUUUUUUUCAAGAUGCACCCAUGAAAUAGUUUAUAGGCCUAUCUACAAAUUGUCUAUAGGUGAGGGGCUUCCGUGCAUUUUAACCCUCUAAAACCCUAGCUAGUACAAAAUUACACCGCCCUUUCUUCUUCCUCAGUUUCCCUCCCAUUUCCCUAGAGAGAGAGAGAGAGAGAGAGAGAGAGGGGAAAGGGAGAAAAGGGAGGGGAGAGAGGUUUUAGAGAGAGAGAGAGAGGGAUCUAGAGAGAGAAAGAGGAGAGAGGGGGAGAGGGGAUGAGGGAGGAGGAGGUGGAGCGGUUGAGGGGGGUGGUGAGGGACUGCGUGAGCAAGCACCUCUACGCGUCGGCGAUCUUCUUCGCCGACAAGGUGGCGGCGGCGACGGGGGACGUCUACAUGCAGGCGCAGGCGCUCUUCCUCGGCCGCCACUACCGCCGCGCCCUCCACCUCCUCAACUCCUCCCACAUCGUCCUCCGCGACCUCCGCUUCCGAUACCUCGCCGCCAAAUGCCUCGUAAUAGACUCCCUUUUCCCUGCUGUUUGAAUGAGAAUUAUUCAUUGGGAGAUUUCAUCGAACACCUGAUUUGUGCAGUUUGAAUGCGAUUCAUUUCCUUCUAUAGCAUGCGAAUCCCAAAAGUGGGGCAUAGUUUCUGUUCAAUCAUGUUUAUUUAACUUGAACACUUCACUCUCUGAAUUAUCUCUUACAAUUGCACUUUAAUUUGCCAUCAGUAACGAAAUUAAGCAUUCAUUUAAUUACUAUUACCCUAUGUGAAGGAGUAAAAUGGCAAUUGUAUAAGAAAAAUUACAUCUUGAUGGUCAGAGAGUAAAGGUUGUUGAAUAUGUAAAUUAAAAACACUGUUUGCUGAUAGCUUAAGCUUUUGGAGAUAAAUGGUUGUUUCACUUUAUUUAACAAAGACAACAUAUGAAUAGCCGAGGGACUAAAAUGUUCAAAUAAUAAGUACAGGGACCAAUUCGUGAUGUUCGGACAGUAUCAGGGAUUAUCCAUAUAUUAUACUAUUUAAUUUUUCGAGAAGAGUUAAUGUUCUCAAGAAAAGGCUUGUAAACCUAGAUCUCCAGUUAGCAUAAUCAAGGUCAUCCUAUUUGAUUGUUGAAUGUUUCAACAAUGCUUUCAUUGUUCUUUGCCUAAAUUUUAUACAAUCCCGUACUUAAUUUAUUUCAAUUCACGCGAGAAAUAUGAUUAGAUAAAGACAACUUUCUAAACAACAAAGCCGUGUUAUUUUAGAAAUCUACGUCACUGUCAUUGUGCCAUUUUGGUUAGAGAUGUUAUCACUUCAAGUCCAAUCUUUUCUUUCCAAUGGGCAGUUGUUAGAUUUUUCACCCGGUCUUGGGGUCUAAGUACUUGAUAUUUGAUGUUUCGAUGGUUACACAGGAUUAUUAUUUAUUCUAAUUUUAUUCUUACUAGAAUUUUUUAGAUCCUGUUUGGAUGUAUGAAUAUCGUAUUUGACAUAUCUCUUUGAUUUACUUAAGAAGCUUUUAAUAUUUGGUAGAUGAGAAGUAUGAUGAAAUGUUUCGAAUGGAUACCAUAUUCCACCUUCAAUUCAUAUUUUGGGAAAAAGAUAAAUCACAUCGUAAGUGAAAUAUGCUAUCCUCCCUAAUCAUGAAUGCUAAGACCUUUUAAAAAAUCAAACUCUUGCUUCCAACAACACAAGAAAAUCUCAUGCCAAAUAGGUCAUCCUUGGAUGACUUUUUCUGACGUCCAAACUGGGCCUUAGUCUUAGCAUUUUACGUCUUUGACAAAUUUAAAAACCUGCUGUUGCUGCCUUGCUCGCUAUGUUAACCUCUACUUCCACAUAUUCUAAUUAUUUGUUGUCACAUUUCAUCUCAAUUAGGAGGAGUUGAAAGAUUGGAAUCAAUGUUUGACGAUGCUAGGCGAUGCUAAGUUGGAUGAACACGGAAAUGUUCAUUCCCAACAGGACGGCACUGCAAUGUACUUAGAUAAGGAUGGCGAAGAUCGGGAAAUUAAUGUACGGUUUCUGCUUAAUACAUCUUGAUCUCCUCUACAUUCUGGAAGAGAAAUUGUUACAUUCCUACGUUGUGGUAUUAAAAUACUGAGUAAUUAUUUGCGCAGAUCUUCUAAUAUACACCCUUACAAAAUUGUGUGUAUCCCUUCAAAUUCUGAUAGUUCUUCUUCUACUUUAAAAUUUUAAUUUCUUACAAGUUUAUCCUUUUACAUACAAAAAUUUCCCUCAUUACAAAAAUUUUUCUAGUAGAAACACUGAUUUCUCCCCAUAAUUUGGAUGACUUCCCAACUUAAGAUAAAGAUCUUUUUAACAAUUUGCUCUUUCAAGGAAUGUAUGCCAAUUCAGAUUUUAUAGGAGUAUAAACAUAGAUAGAUAAUUUUGCAGGGAUAUUUGUAUGUAAAAGGCAAGAAGCCCCUUGUUUAUGUUUAGUUCAUUUAUUUGCUUUGCUCUGUUUUGACAUAUUGUGGACAGCAUAUGCAAUAUUAACUGUAUGAAAUAAAAUCUCACCAUGAAAUUCAGGUAAAUUCGCAAACUACUCAAUGAAAUCCAUGUUGUACUUGAAAACUACUCUUGACUGUGGAAAUCUGCUUUAUAUUAUCCAACUCUUUUCAAGAAUUUCAGCUAACAUAGUCAACUUUGUACUUGAUGAAUUUUAAACAAAGUUAAAGAUGCUAAGCUCAAGCACUAUUUUGCAUCAUCAGAUAACAGCAGCUAUAUGUUUUUUACGUGGAAAGGCAUAUGAAGCAUUGGACAAUCGUGCCCAAGCUCGAGAAUGGUGAUUUUUUUCCCUUUUUUCGUUUUGAGACCAGUACUUUGUGUUAUAAUUUUCUGUUACUUAAAAGUUAUUUGUAGUAAUGUUUCUUUCCAUAUGUUAUUGUGGUGGCAUUUUAAAUUUCUUGCAGCUUUAUUUAUAAUUGAAUUGCAAAUCUACUUUAGUUUCUAAAGCACUUAUGCAGUGGAAACUUCAUUUAUUGGUUUGGGUAUUCUGUUCAGCUCUUGGCCUUUAUGUUUGCUUUAGGGAAAGUUGCCCAAGUUUGCUCUAAUGACUUGUUUAUAUUGUGUGUUUAAGGUACAAAGCAGCUGUUAAAGCAGAUCCUUUAUGUUAUGAGGUGAGCAUAAUAACUUUGGUCCCAACGUACAUUUAACAACAAGAAUAAAACUCCAAACAUGUAAGAAUCGAAACCUUCCCAUGUAAUGGGAAAUGUAGAUCUCUAGACUUAUAACUAGCCAUUAAUGUAAGCAUGUUUAAGCAGUAAAUUAAUCUGCUGAUGAAAAUUUAUUUUCUUAACUUUCUAUUUUGUCAUGUUUUUACUGCAAAAGAACAUGUAGAAACUUCAGAUACUCCGGACGUAUUUAAGAGGAUUGUGCGGGCAUAAUCUCUUCAAAAGAACAUAUAGAACCUUUGCAAAAACUAGUACUUGGUUGUCAUAUAUUUAGAGCCGGUUAGACUAGGCUGAAACUUCUGAGUAGAGCCACUAAGAAACAGCACUAACAGCUCUUCUUUAGAUUUACAAAAUAGGGUUCAUAGUCCUAGGAUUUUCAUUCUUCUGUAUAUUUACUGCUUCUUCUACUCAAAUUAUUUAUUGCUUUGUGUUUCAGGCUCUGGAAUGUUUGGUUGAUAACUACAUGUUGACUUGUGAGGAAGGUAAAAUAUAACAGUUAAGCAUAAAUGGAUCUUUAUUUGUAUAUAUCCUUUCUUACUAUUGGUGUUAAAGAUGGUGCAAUUAUUUUUGUUGAACUAGCACCAUGUGAUUAUGAGAUAUAGAACAGUGCAUGGAAUUUCUCUUGUUUAGACGAAGUUGGGUUCAAGUUUAUUAUUGUUGAAUUAGCUGAUGAAAUUAUUUAUUCACCAUUUAGAAUUCAUCUUCAUUCAGCUAUAAGUUAGUUGACUCUCUACUCUUUAGUUAGGUUUUCACUUCCAUGUGCUUUCAUCAUAUCUUUUUCUACUAUAUUCUAGGAUCAUAUAACAAGAUAAAAAGAUAAGCUUGUUCGUAAACAAUUUGUAAACGCAAUAUGUCAAAAUUUCCUUCAAAUUUGGUUGCUGCUUCUCAUAUGUGCUGUUUCAAGGUUAAAAUCUAUCAUGAUUUGUAUAUUUAUAUUCUGUCACAGUAGUCCUAAGCUAUGGAAUAUGAUGUUAUGGACCUUAACUGAACCGUAUCAUCGGGGGCUUAUUUCCUAGUCGAUUUAUACCUUGUUUAGCUUGGAAUACUUUGACCUAAAAGUGUUGCAACAUUCCCUUUAACUGACAUAACUGGAAAAAAGGGAGGCCUUAAUUUUAAAAAAUAUGUUUGAAUUUUUUACUUCUCCUCACAUGGAGAUGUCGAAACUGUAGGCUUAGUAUCUUUAGUUCCUACAUUCAAUGUAGUAUGAUCAGAUAUGUAAUAGCCAUUGAGCACAUCUUGUCAUUUGCCCAUAGAUUCGGUCUUCACAGACAAAGGAUUGUGAGAAGUGCUACUUAAUCUGUAGUGGAGAAUUUUCUUGGUUUAUGUCUUCUAAAUGUCCCAAUUUGAUUCUUGAAUAUGCACUUCGUUUUUGUAAUAUUUUUAAACUGAUUUUUGGGUCUGGUUAUCUGACGAUGUAACCUAUGAUUUUAAAUUUUAUAUUUCAGAAUCAGAUUUAUUAUCUUCUGUACAAUUUGGGAAAGAUGACGGGUGGUUAUUGUCGUUCUAUUCAUGUUUGAUAAAGAAGGUAACAAAACUAUUUUUUGAAUUUUUGUGUGUAGUUGCAAAUGAUGAGUAGGGAUAUUCCAUCAAAAAUUCUGUUAAUUUGUGCUCUAUAUAGUGCUUUUAAUCUUCUUCUUUAAUUCAUUUAGCAUGACAAAGAACAUGUUGUAGAAGCGAAAUUCAGAGAGCUUGAAAGAGAGACUUGUAUCACAUCUUCGAGUUCUCCUUUUAGCCAAACACUGAAAAACAACAAUGACCUUUUGACUUGUAAAGCUGAAUACUACCAACAAUGUGGAGAGUACCAGAAGUGCUUUGAGCUUACAUCAGCGUAAGUUGCGAUCAAAAAUUGCUUGCAUUAUUAUAAUUUUUGUUUAUAGAUUUGUGUCUUGAGAUAUGCAAUUCCAUGCUUAUUUUAGGAUUCUAGAAAGAGAUCCAUUCCACUUAAAAUGCACAUUAGUUCAUUUGGCAGCUGCACUGGAGCUUGGCCAUUCAAAUGAACUCUAUAUUCUUGCUUGCAAUUUGGUGAAGGAUUAUCCUCAGAAGUGAGUAUCUAUUACUGCUUGUCAUAGCUUUGAUUUUUUUUUUUUCAGCUUAUUAAGUCAGAAAUUUGCAAAGUCCAUGUUUUUAAAAUGAAUUUUCCAUCUUUAGCUUUUGCUGUUCUUUUCUACCAAUUUUUCCAGUGUGUAGAUUGCGAUAUUUAAAUUCUUUUCUGCCAAUUUUCCUAUCUGUAGAUUGCUAUAUUUUAGAUAUUGCUAUAAGAAAUGUAGAAAAGGUAAGUUAGAACCUGAUAUUAUGGCUACAUGUUGGCCCUCUAGAUAAAGAUUGUGUUAAACAUGCAAACUUGGACUAGUUGCAUUCUGGAACAGGUACUGAAACUUUUAAAAGUUAAAAUAGCAUUUUGAAGUAGGUACCUGACUUCAAAGUUUUGAUUCCACUACCUAACCUUACAGUAGUUAUUUUCGUUGCUUGCUAGAGCUCUUUCCUGGUUCGCUGUUGGGUGCUAUUACCACUGCAUCAAGAAGUAUGACCAAGCAAGAAGAUACUUCAGGUGGUCGUUGUUCUUUUUCUAUCAAUGUUUCCACCUGCUGCUCAUUGUAUUUGUAACUAGUAUUUGGAGUCACAUUAUAUGCUUCUCUAUUAUGGAUCCUUGCUCAUAGUUGGACUCGCCUGAUAACUUCAGUUACUUUUUUCACUGCUUUAGUGGGUAGAACCCUAUUCAUGAAUUCAUAAGCACUUCCAUUCACGUAGUGCCUUUCUCUAUUAUAUGCACAAAGAAUUCUGUAUUCUGUGCCAUUCAGGACAUGUAGAAGGAUGAUUGGAUCUUAUCCAUUAAAUUUGAAUAUUCUUUUGUACUUAACUAAUUUAAUAUUAUAUUCCUUUCUUUUCUGCUCACAUACUUCAGUAAAUAUUGUCUCAUAUAUGAUAGUUCAUGAAUUUGUGAGCUCUUCCAUUCACAUUGUGGCUUUCCCUAUUAUAUGCACAAGGAAUUCUGUAUACAGUGCUGUGCAGAACAUGUAAAAGGAUGAUUGGAUCUGAUCCAUUAAAUUCGAAUAUUCUUUUGUACUUAACUACUUUAAUACUGUACUCAUUUCUUUUUUCCUCAUAUACAUCAGGAAAUAUUGUCUCAUCUAUAAUAAUGCAACCUGAAAACUGCCAUUAUGGUCUGUUUACCUAAUGACGUAGAUACUCAGUAACUAAACAUAGUCACAUUUUCACAUAAGGGGAUUCAUGAUUUUUCUGCUUUUAUCUCCUGGUUCAUUUGUUUUGAUAUCUAAUUCUCCUGUAUAUUAGAACAGAGAUAUAUUAUGAACUAAUGUUUGGAUCUUUUUAUAUAUCAGCAAAGCAACUGGUUUAGAUGGUGCAUUUGCACCUGCUUGGAUAGGUACUGGUAAUGCUUUUGCUGCUCAAGAGGAAAGUGAUCAAGCGAUGGCUGCAUAUCGAACUGCAGCUCGCUUAUUUCCUGGGUAAUAAUCUUUUGACGUUCCUUGUUCUUUCUCAUUUAUAACAGACUUUACUGAUGUUUUUCACCUGAUGCAAUAGUAUUUGUGCCUAAAUAGGUUAUUAGCAUGCCAUUGCUUUCUACUUACCAACUUGGUCAUUGAUGGCUUGAAGCAAGGAUUUAAGUGCUGUUGCACAGGAUUGUGUCAAGAAUUUAUUGUCACGGUACGACAUAGUGUGUGCCGGACCAUGUUGAUGUGUGCCGGUCACAUAAAUACCUAUGUGCCAAAACAUUAUGGCAUGAAAUAUUUAAUUUUUUUUCACUCCAAUAUGUUGUAAUUGCUUAUUAUAUAUUUUUGUCAAAUCUUUUACACUUUAUUGAGGUAACUACUAACUACUAGCUAAUGUCAAAGAGAGGAGGGUUUUGAGUAGUGCUAUCAGCACAGGCGUGUCGAUAUCUUAUUGGCACAAUACAUCACGCUCGGCUUGACCCAUACCGAUGGGCAUUUAAAUCGUUGGUGUUAAGUGCUAGUUAACUACAACUAUUCAAGGUAGCACUAAUAAUUAUAUUCACUGAAAUUUCCGUGAUAUCUUCUCACUGCAAUAGAAACAGAAGCUUCUACUUUCGGUGUCAAGCUUCAAAAAUUUUGUUCAAAUGCCUCGUUAUCUUGUUGGCACAGUACAUCACGCUCGGCAUGACCCAUACCGAUGCGCACUUAAAUCCUUGGUGUUAAGUGCUAGUUAACUACCAACUAUUCAAGGUAGCUCUAAUAAUUAUAUUCACUGAAAUUUCCGUGAUAGCUUCUCACUGCAAUAGGAACAGAAGCUUCUACUUUCGGGGUCUAAAAGCUCACUUUACUACUAUAUCAAAAGCUUCAAAAAUUUUGUUCACAUGCCUUGUUAUGGAAGCUUCCGAUUUUUACAGUUGAGGACUUGAUCUAGAAACCGAGCCAAAGAGGAAAUAAGCAUUGUUAUUACUCCUAGGUCUGGUCAAGGCAUGCCACGCAUUCAAACAAGGCUUACAUUGUAAAUAGUACUUGGCCGGUACCUCUCAUUAAGAUGCUAUAUGCUCAUAAUCAAUUCUUUCCAUUUGUUUUAUCAUAUUCUUCUUAUUUCAGAUCUCACUUGCCAACGUUAUAUAUUGGCAUGGAAUACAUGCGAACUCACAAUUUCAAACUUGCAGAACAGGUACAAUAUUACAAUAUGCACAUUGGACAUUUAAUAUUUGUUGCAAAAUUAGAUGUUGUUAAUUGAAGUUAUAUUUCUCUUUUGUAAUUGAAAUAAAGCCAUCUCUUUAUGAUUUUUGUGUGCUUCUUUCUGCAGUUUUUUCUUCAGGCAAAGACAAUAUGCCCUUCUGAUCCACUCGUAUACAACGAACUGGGUGUUGUUGCUUAUCAUAUGAAGGAGUGAGUAAAUCAUUUCUGGGUAGCUUGCAUAUAUUUUUAAUUGGAUUCUUUAGUUUUUUUUAUUUAACAUCAUUUGUAGGGCUGGUUUGUUUGAGUUUGAGAGAUCAUAUAAAGUUACAAUAUUUCACCCAUGCUACUGUGAAUUACUACUAUUUUCUAUACGCCAAGCAUUUCCAACUUAGUUAUCUAGCUGUUAAAUAUGUGAGAACUGUUUGAUAUGUUUAUUUUGCUAGCAAUUCUAACUAUUUAACUGAUGAGAAAUUCUCAAUUUAAUUCCAGUAUAAUUAUCUGAUUGUUCUUAUUCUUUAUUUUGCUUUAGGUAUCAGAAAGCCGUCCAAUUUUUCGAGGUGACAUUGGAUUAUAUUGCAACUUCAUUAAGUGAAAUGUGGGAACCAACUUUGGUGAAUCUCGGACAUGCCCUAAGGAAAUUGAAGUAUGUCUAACUGUAAUAGCAAAAGUAUUCUAGAUAAUUUCUGUUGAUUGUGGUUGGACGCCUAGUUUGAAUAUUCUUCAAGUGGCUUAGUAUAUAAUAGAAAAUACUCAAAUAGCCAUUCUUUUGAAAUGUUAUCUUUUUCACCAAUUUGAGUGGUUUUCUAUAUUCAGAUUUAGGAUUUUUAUGAACUAAUAUGUAGAGCUCUAAGAUUGACAUUUACAUUAUGAAUUUGGCACUAGUUUAUGCACAGCAAAUUGACAAGUUGAACAAUAGGGGAAAAAAAAAAGUUAGAUACUUAUAUCACAUGUUGAAAAAUUUAGAAAAUAGUGUCUUUACCUCUUUCCUUAGCUGGAAUUAGUUGGUUCCCACACAUGGAGGAUUUUCUGUCUAUUUUGAUGAAUUCCUACUUAAUAUACCGAUUUACUUAUUUGUUUGCGAUUUUCUUGAAAAGCUAAUACCUGAAUAAAUGUCUCCAUCAGGAGGUACCAGAGAGCAAUAUCCCAUUAUGAAAAGGCUCUGUCUCUUUCAACUCGAGAUUUUAGUGCGUUUGCAGGCCUCGCAUACACUUAUCAUCUAAUGGUAUCUUUGCUAACCCUUAUUGGCAUCUUACUUGGAGCAAAACAAUUUCAGUUUUUCAUGUUGAUAUAUGCAAUAUCAAAGUUAGUUUCACAGUUUGUGUUAACAUCAUCUUCACAAAUUAAUUUUGUAAUCUGUGGUCAUGAGUUCCUCAAGUAUUCAUUGAUCUUAGAGCUGCUUCUAUUAAGCUUUUUAAGAUAGAUAUCCACCGCAAUCUCAUAUCAAUCGUCUUGUAAUUUUCUAUUUUUUGAUUUACGUGAUUGGACUUUUCGAUAGAAUGUCCUUUCAAUUUCAUUCUGAUUUGUUAAUCACAAAGUCCAGAAUGGGGCGAAAACAAAAAAAAAAAAAACACACACACAUCCGUGGGCACUAGUGACAUUGUGAAUUUGUAGCAUGGUAAAAGAAAAUAAAUCCUAAUGCUUCAGACAUGCAUGAACUUGUAAUUGCGAACGAAAGAGCAGGCAUGCGUUUGAUCCGCAUUUUUAAACAUCUUAUUAUGUUGUUUUUCAGAUUUUCUUCGUGCAACUUUUGGGUUCUACUAUUUUGGGCUUCACUGUUUUCUCUUUUUUCCUGUUACAGGAUCGGUUUGAUUCAGCAAUCUCUUAUUACCACAAGGUGAGUUUAAAAUGAGCACUUAUGCUGCAGUUAUAUUUGGUCAUUUCAUGGCAAACUUGUCGCGCAUUUAAAGUGAAUUAUUGUUCUACAAACUCAGCUGGGUUUCAUUCUGGAAAUCUUCAUCAUUCUAUAAAAUCUUGUACUCAAUUGGAUUUGGUCAUUUCCUAUCUAUCCGACUCCAUUCUUGGCUCUCUCUCUCUCUCUCUCUCUCUCUCUCUCUCAUUAGUUAAAUGAGGAGUUUGUUUCUACUGCUUCCAAAUUACACACUCCCAGAAUUUAUCACUCUUUUAAGUUCGAGUUUUUGCGCCAUUGAAAAGCUAUUGUUUCACAACCCUAAUCAUCUUAUUUUCACAGGCUCUGUGGCUGAAACCAGAUGACCAAUUCUGCACUGAAAUGCUAACUCUGGCCCUUGCGAAUGAUUGCCGAAGCAUCGAUUGUCGAAGCACCGGUCGGAGAAUAUGAUUAUAGCUUUGGUUGAGCGUGGCGUACCAUGUUAAUCUUAUAACAUGCUUGUAAUUUAUGUGGGAACAAAACUUUAUUACCAGUGUAGCAGCUGCUGUAUUCUCUAUGUUUUAUCACAUUGAUUUAUUUUCCCGCCAUUUAUUACAAGCUGUAACCACUUAGCCUUGUUAAAAGCAUUUACUUAUGCUUCAACUUAAAAUUACUAAUUAAAUAGGUCAGCAAUAGAAACUAUUAAAUCCAGUAGACAAUUUAUAAUGUAUUAAAAUUAUGGCCAUUAAUGUUAAUGCGAAAUUUUUAUCUAUUUCAUGUAAUUGAGGACUUGAUGUAUGUUUUUUGUGUCCAAUAACGCAAUAAACUCCCGAACUAGCCUAUUUGGACAAGUUACUUGGCCCGGCCUGAAAAUUACAACUCAAAUUUACUGUAAGGGUGCGUUUGGUUCGCAUUAUGAAAGAUUAUUAGAAAUAAAAAAUAUUUGAGAAUCUUAUUUCUAUUCAUUCUAUUACUAAGAAUGUGAAAUUUCUGUAUUUGGUUCGCACGGUAAUAUUAAUUAGCCAUAUUAUUUAAUAUUACAAAAAAUAUAUAAUUAAUUAAUUAAUUAAUUAAAUUAAUUUUAGAUAAUGUUAUCAAAAGUUUCAACAUCUUUUAGAAAAAAGAGAGAGAGUAUAAGUUAGAGAGAGAGAGCAUAAUUAAAAAAAAAAGAAAAAAAAAUAUAGUCGAAAUUAGAGGGAGUGAGAGAGUUGAAAUUUUAGAAAGAGAGAGAGAGAGAAAGCUUAGUUUAGAGAGAGAAAAAAAAGUUCAGAGAGAGAUAUAAGGUUAGAGUGUAAAGAAAAAUAAUAUCAAUUAGCCGGCGGGUAUGAAGAAAGAAAGAGAUUAGACAUAUUAUGAUUAUCCCAAUCCAUUAAUAUGAGGAUACCCACCUUCCCUCAAGGAAAUGAGAUUAGUACUUUGGGGUUAAUCUUAUUCCCAAGUGAAUCCAAUAUUAUCAACUAGAUUACUUAGUGCGUUUAGCCAAACACCGUCAUAUUUUUUUAUUUCCAUUGGAUUACUAGGAAUCUUUAAAAGAUAGCGCGAACCAAACGCAUCCUAAAGGUCAUAAAAUUUUGGGUAAAUUUCAAAAUACCAUCUUGUGGUUUUGCACAUUCUUACUUUAAUACUCUUUUGUUUAGAGUGUAUCAAUUUAAUAUCUAGGGUUUUAUUAUUUUUUUUUAUUAAUUUUUUCGUUAAUUUUUCGUUAAAUUAUAUACAAAAAUUGAAACUGCAUUAGUUGUAUUCGAAAUUUUUCCUAAAAUUUAUUUAGCCAGAGAGUAAGGGCAUGCUUGGAAAUGAUCGGUUGGAUUUCUCUUUUAGUUUCAUGAGAUUCAAAUAAAUAUAAACACCACCAGGUCCACGUCAUCCCAGGGCUAUUUCUGUAAUUUGAAGCUGCAGCAGUUGGCAAAUCUUCCGAAGCCCAUACGUACGUCUACUCUCAGUGGCAAUUUCGUAAUUUCGGUCAUGUUAACACUGUCCCAGGCAAUGGCAUUUUGGUAAUUACGGACCAGGCAUCUCAAGUACGGACGUAACAACCUCAGAAACCGCCUCUCGCCUCCCUAUAAAUACCACCUGAUCCACUCCCUCUUCACUCUCUCCUCUUUCUCUCUCUCUCUAGCUCUCUCUCGAUCUCGAUCUCGAUAGAAAUGGCGAUCUCCUUCCUCCUCCUCGUCGCCCUCGCCCUCCUCUUCUCCGCCACCUCCUCAGCCGCCUCCGCCUACGCCCUUCCUCCUUUCAACCAGUCGCCUUCUCCUCCGCCGCCGCCGCCGCAAUCGGCGGAGGAGGCUCACGAGGUGCUCCUCCUCGCCCCGAUCCUCUCCAACCUAGGGUUCCAGGAGCUCGCCAUGGCCGUCCCCGCCCUCUCCUCCCCGGUCCUCUCCACCUGGUCAGGUCCCCUCACCCUCUUCGCCCCCUCCGACGACUCCCUCCGCUCCUGCCCCUCCUGCUCCCCCCUCCGCCUCCUCCGCGACCACCUCGUCCCGGGCCUCUUCCCCCUCCCCUCCCUCUCCGCCCUCCCCUUCGCCUCCAAGCUCGCCACCGCCUCCCCAGGCCGCUGCCUCACCGUCACCUCCACCGCUCCCCACCGCCGCUCCGGCGACAACUCCUCCUCAUCCGCCGCCUCCGCCCUCAAGAUCUUCAUCGACGGCGUUGAAAUCGCGCGCCCGGAGCUCUUCAACGACGGGCGAUUCGUGAUCCACGGCCUCCUGGGCUUCGUCGCCCCGCUCUCCCCCUUCUCCUGCGUCCAGGAGCCCCGCGGCGAGAGCAACCCCGCCUCCGCCGACCCGAUCCGCGCCGGAUCCGGCGCCGCCGCCGCCGUCGUCCGCCUCAUGCUCCGCGACGCCAUCGUCCGCCUCCGCGAGGGCGGGUACAGCGUCCUCGCCCUCGCCAUGCGCGUCAAAAACGCCGAGCUCUCCGCUCUCAGCAACAUGACGGUGUUCGCCCUCGACGACCGCGCUAUCUUCGCCGGGGGCCACGCGUACGUCACCGAGGUGCGCUUCCACGUCGUCCCCGAUCGCCUCCUCACCCACGCCGAUCUCCUCCGCCUCCCUCCCGGGACCCUCCUCCCCACACUCGUCAGGGGCCAGCACCUCGUCGUCACCCACGCAUCCGCCGCAUCCCCCGGAUCGCCAUCGGGGCCCGCGCGAUCGGAUCUGCGGAUCAACUACGUCCCGAUCAAGGUGCCCGACGCGGUGAUCAACUCCCGGGUCGCGAUCCACGGCGUGCUCGCGCCGUUCCCGCACCUCCACCUCGCCGACCUCGCCGCCGCGGAGGAGGGCGCCCGAGAGGCCGCGGCGUCGGCGGCCCCGGCGAGGAGGAGCGGCCUCUGCGGCGCGUCGUCGCCGUUCGGCGAGUGCGCCGCCGCCGCAGCAGCAGGGGCCCCCGCCACGCCGCCCUCCGCAUCCUUCGCCGUCGAUUUCAUGGACGACGGCCUCUGAUGCGCUCGAGAUACGUACAAUCCCCAUCUCUCUCUCUCUGUUCCUUCUCAUCUCUUUUUUUGUCCGUUCCUAGGGUUCCUCGAGUAUAACAGUACGAUCACUUGUGUUCACUUGAUUCGAGAUUCAAAAAUAGUAACGGUGAAUUUUCGUUUUGUCAUCAGUUUAUUUUCCUUUUUUUUCUUUUAAUAAAAAAAAAUUGAGGGGUACUCGAUCGAUUGAUUUGGGUACAUCUGGUGUCACGUACAGUAAUGUUGAGAUGAUUGUUCGAGUAGUUGUCUUUGCAUUUUGGCGGGAAAGGUCAUGAGUGUUGUGACGGCUCAAUCGUAGCCGUUUGUCUCAAAAUGCAAGGAUAGGACAUUUGUUGUUAAUACUAGUCCAUCACUUUGUUCCAUUUAAAGAGGAGCCGUGAAUUGGCGCAAACAUAAUAAGAUUUUAGACAAUAUCAAUUAUUAUUUACUCUCCUGGAUAAACGCAUAGAAGAUCGAUCUAGUCCAUAAAUAAGAGUUUAUUGGCCUUACAUUACGUAGCUUUGUACAGCAUAAUAUGCUUUAGUUGUAAUACAAUUAGGAUGUUCAUUUGAGCUGUAGCAUAUAAUUAGCAACCAAAAGAAAAUAUGCAUGAUUGUAGAGUUAAUUUGAAAUUCAAUACAAUCUUACCUUUUCUGAACAAAUCAGAUCGAAUAAUUCAGUUGGUUUGAGCCCAAUAGUCGUCAUGAGUUUCUAAGGCUUCGUUUGAGAUUGCGGAGAGAUUGCGUUACGUGCGGUAAGAAAAUACGUUGAAAAAAUACCAUAUUUAUUUUCAUACAUAAUAUUGCGUUUCGUAUAUCGUGAUGAGUUGGUUACGAUAUAUUUUUUGCGGUUCCACCGGAAAACGUAGAAGCAUAUCCCUACAUAUACUUUUAUCCGAACUUCAUUUUAUCUAAUAGCGUUAAAUGAGCCUAAAUACCAAACUAAGUCUAAGACAUAGUUUGGGAUUUGAGAAUGCGUGUAAUGAAAAACUACAACUACGAUAAAAAAAUAUAUAUCUUAUCUAUUUCUAUACAUAAUAUCACGUUUUACAUAUUGCGAUAAUUUAGUUAUUUUUUACAGUCCCACUGAGAAAUAAAAAAAAUAUUUUUCUAUAUCCUUUAGCAUCAAACGGGCCGUAAGCUGCUCCAACUAGUAUGUGUACUCUUAUUUCAUUUUAUCCACUCCAGGUUUUUGUAAUGUUUCUCACUGCUAAUACGAUAUUCAAGGACAUUUUAUCCCUCCCGUGCAUAAUCAUCUUCGAAAAUUCAACCAGUUUAAAGAGUGGUUUAUUUAUCUGCCGAGUACCCAGAAGUUUGAACAUCUUCCGUAUUUAAAAUCUCCUGCAACCAAUCCCUCCCAAAAAGAAUUCCUAAAAAAUUUAAAAAAAAAUAAAAAGGAUUUGUGGAACUGUAUUAUUGUGCCUAAUGUAUGUUGUGGAGCAUUAAUUCUCCGUGAACCUUCUUACAGGAGUUAUCUAAGAAAAGCACAAUUGCCGUCCAUCUCAACCUCAGCAUUCAAUUCAACUAUUUACAUAUACAAAGCCCUUUUUGUUUCUUUUUUUAAAAAAAGAAAAUCCCACAUAAGGUGGUCUUAUUGAUUGGAGCUAAGCUUUGUUAAAUUUGAUCCUAUCUAACUAGCAAAUAGUGACUUCAUAAAAUGACUCUCUUCGUCUUCUUGAUAUAUAGAAAAUGUUAUUUGUACACAUAUUUAUAUGUGCGUAAAUCAUAAACUUCACUUACACUAAAAUUUAUAUAUUUUUUAAAAUUUUUAAUAUUAAAAGAACAGUAAGAGUAGUUGAGAAAUAGUUGUUGGAACAAUUACCGCAACGAAAAUCUGAUUGUGAUUUAAAUCUAACUAAAUUUGUGAUAAAUAAAUAGUAAUUGAGAAAUUAUUAAAUUAAUAAAUAAAAAAAUAAUAAUAGUAAUUGAGAAAUUAUUGAAUUUUCUCCAAUAAUAGUGACCUUUGAAUAAGUGAGAUGUGAAAUUUAUAUCUAAUCUGUUUGUAUAUAUAUACAGCUUACUCUUGUAGGAUACGUGGAGGCUUUUCUUAUCGUUAAACGCUCUCGGCAGCUAUAGACAAGUUCCUCCAACAAUAAUUCAGUUGUCAAUCAUUAUCAAAGUUUAUCGUUAUAUCACCGGAACAAAAAAGAACCCUACAAAUAUUCAAAUUCCCUCCUGGCAACUAAAAAAGAAAAUAAAAAAAAAUUUAUAGCGUAAUAAUAAAUUGAUCCAUUGUACACAAUCCCAGUAAUUCUUUUUUUUUUAUAACUAUUUCUAUAACAAAAUUUAAAUUUAUAAUCUAAUUAAUAAAAAAAAGGGAAAACUUCAAAAACCCCCCUGUGGUUUCAUAGUUUCUCACUUUGCCCCCCUGUGGCCCCUGUGGUUUCGUUUUUAUCUUUUCGGUAGCUUUUUCGUUAAUAUUUCGUUAAAUUAUAUACAAAAAACUUCAGAUAUCCAUCUAGAUUUAUCAAAUAUUCACUUUAGUAUCCUUUAAUUUUAACUUUAUUACUGAUUUAAGAAAAAAAAAUAAUAAAAUUGAUAAGAAAAAGAGAAAAAUAAAAUCACAGGGGGGCAAAUUGAUAUAUUUUAAACCACAGAGGGGGUAAAGUGAGAAACUACGAAACCACAUGGGAGGUUUUUAAAGUUUUUCCUAAAAAAUUAAAGUAAUAUAAAAGGUCAGAGCGGAGGACAAAAUAUCCCCCACAACAAUUUCAGGGGUAUAAACGUAAUUUUACGUAAACCACCAAGUUGCGUCCGCGCACCGCAUCUUCACCACUCAAUAGUGGCACUUCUGUAAUUAAGUGCAAGACUAUGUACGGACGUAGGUAACACCUCUAACAACCCUGGCCACAAAGACGAAAAUACCCCUCCUCUCCUCCCCUAUAUAAACACCCCUUCGCCACCAACAACGCCUCCUCCGCUACGUUCUUCAACUUCGAGAUCUCCGGCGAGCACUCCAUGGAGGACCCCUCGUCGUUCUCCGCCGCCGCCGCCGCCCCCCACGCCGCGAUCCCCUACGUCCGAGUCUCCGCCUCCUUCUCCAUCUCCGGCCCCGCUCCCUCCGCGACCGCCGGACCCGACGACCGCGCCGCCGCCGCCGCCGAGAUGGAGAAGAUGCUGGGGGAAGCCGCGGCGAGCCUCGCCCGCAGCGGCCGCUACAUCGUGACCGCAGCGGCGAUCCGCGCCCACCUCGACGAGCUCGCGCCCCUCCGCAAGAUGACGAUCCUCGCCCCCGACGACCGGGCCAUCGCCGACGCCCUCUACUACGAGUCCCCGCCCCGAUUCCACCUCCACAUCGUCCCCGAUCGCCUCCUCACCUACGCCGACCUCCGCCGCCUCCCAGUCGGCGCCGAGCUCCCCACGCUCGAUCCCGGGGAGAGCCUCGUCCUCACCAGCAACGGCGAAGGCAAAGGAGCCCCGGACAUCGUCCGAUUAAACUUCGUCAGCAUCAAUGCCCCCGAUCUCAUCAUAGGCUCCAGGAUCGCCGUCCACGGGGUCCGCCUCCCGAUCUGGGAGUUCGAUCUCUGGGAUCUACGUCCUUCGCCGCCGCCAUCGUCGACAUCCUCGCCGUCCUCACUGGAGGCGCCGAUCUGAAGCUAGCUUCGUCGGAUCAAGCGGUGGGAGCGCGAGGCCGAUGCUCGAUCUCGGCCAGAGAUCGCACGGUCGAACGUAGUCUGAGGUGAGAUCGAUCUCUCUGCAUUGCUGCUACACUAUAUCACCUACCUAAUCGUACUACUACCGAGUUUUAUUCUCGUCUUUUUUUCUUUAUUUUCCCUGAUUUUUCCUGCUUUUUCCCCCCCUUUUUUGGCUCGAUUAAUUCUUGAUCUGAUCAAAAUAGUUCUACGGUGUCGAAUUAAUUGUCAUGGUGAUUGAUACUGUUUCCAUGCUUACGAUAAUAGUAAGGGAUUUCCUCUUCUUCUUCUUCUUCUUUUUCCUAUUUUGGCUAUCAGUGGUAGUUAGUACUAAUUUGGUUGUUAAAGAUCGAUUAUGACGUUAGGGUUAAAUUGCAUGUUUGGUCCUCAACCUACAAGCGCAGUGACAUUUUGGUCCUUAGAUUUUAUUUUACGGUAAUUUUUUACUUUUAAACUAUUAUAGUCAAAUCCUAUAACCAAAUUUUUUGAUUAAAUAUUAAUAUAUCUCUAAUAUAGAAAUAAUGUAAUAGUAUUGUGAUGGAUGAUACUGUAUUAUUUUAAUAUCAACACCGCGUUAAAAUUUAAUCAACUAAACUAAAUUGUAGGACUAUUGUAAUAAUGCUAAAAAUUUGUUAACAACUAUCAUAAGAAUUCCAUGCGCAGCAAAGUUCUCAUAAAAUCACAGUAUUCUGUGCGAUUAAAAAAAUUAUCACGAGAUUAAUACGAAUAAAAGAUAGCUUUAGCCAAUAAAAACUUCUGCAAUUUCUUGUGCGCAUCUCAUUUAGAAGGCGCAGCAUUUUCUCUAUCAUAAUUAAAGAGAAUAAAUAACAAGGGCACUUGUCUACGUGCUUUAGCUUAAUUGGCCUGCACUUAGGAGCAGUAGAAUUAUAAUUUGCAAUAACACUCCUUUUUUUCAGUAGUAUGCUCACUUUUUUUUUUUAUUAACUAAAAAAUAAAAAAAGAAUUAGUACAUUGAAAAUAUCCGUGGAGAAGUAGUGGUAGAAUUAGCAUUUUUUUACAGUGAAAGAGUAAUGCCAAAUUUACAAUUCAAAAUAAAUUGUACUUUUUUUUACCAUCCAAACCUGUAGGUUAAUUUUUUUUAACUAAAAAAAUUAGUGAACUCUAAAUAUUAUUUGACGAGGGAAUGUUGGAUUACAAUUUUUUUUUAACUUGGUGGUCGAGUCUAAUUAACCCUAUAAUCAUCACGCAGCGUCACAAAAGCGCAAUGCUCAGCCGAGGGCAAUUUUGUAAUUUCGUCUUUAUUAUCGCCACAGCGAACUCCCCCCUUCUCUCCCUUACGACAACCGUGGCAUUCAUGUAAUUCCAGCAAAACGAGAAGUAAGCCCUCCAGCUCAGGGGCAUUUUAGUAAUUACACUCUCCCACGAACCUUCCCGUAACCACCUCGCUCUGCCUAUAUAUACCCCCACCCACCCCCUUCUCCCCUCUUUAACCCAACGCACCCACACUGCUCUCUCUCUCUCUCUCUCUCUCUCUCUCUCUCUCUCUCACCCAUCCCCAUUCCCAAUCCAAUCUCCGUAGCGAUGAGGUCGAUGCUCGAAUGCGCCAUCACCCUCCUCCGCGGCCGCGGCGGCUACGACAACGUCGCGGAGUCACUUGCCUCCCGCAUCGACGAGCUCGCGAAGAUGCGGCGGAUGACGCUCUUCGCCCCCGACGACCUCUCCGCGCCAACCCCGCUCCACCUCGCGAUCCUCCGCCUCCUCGUCGUCCCCGAUCGCCUCCUCACCCACGCCGACCUCCUCCGCGCGCCGCCGGGGACGGAGCUCCCCUCACUGCAUCCGCGCAAGCGCGUCGCGAUCAAGUGGGGGGGCGCCGGGAUCCGCGCCGGAAGCGGCUUCUUCCGGAUCAGGGAGCCCGAUCUCGCCAUCAUCGACGAGAGGAUCGCCAUCCAUGGCGUCGAGCGGUCGUUCCUCUCCCACGUGCCGCCGAUGCUCCUGCUCGAGUCGCCACUGCCGGGGUGGGAGGCUGCGGAGGGCCGCGGGGUUUGCGGCGCCGCCGACGCCAUGCAGUGGAUCGAAGCCCCGGGGAGGGCGGCAACGAUCGAUCUCGACGACAACGACGCCCCGUAGUGCGUACGAGGUGAGAUCUACGUACUAUUUCUUUCCUAUCCUAGUACAAUCGUACUCUUCCUCCUCUUUUUUUUUUUUCUUUUUUUUUUUUUUUGUUUUUUCCUUCUUCUUUUGCGAUACUCAAACAAACGGAUGAAAUGGACGGUGGGAUGAUGAUGAGAUGACACUGUAACUCUCUAGUCUCUACUGCAGCACCACUACGAGAUUCAAAAAGUAUACCACGCUCGAUCCGUUUUUGACGGGUAAUCAUAUGGUAAUAAUAAAAUUUGAAAUGCAGUGGAAGAAUUACAAGUUGUGGAUAAGAAACUUAGUUUCAGUACACCAUAAUAGAUCUUGAUUCGGAUCUGAUCGAGCUAGUACUUAGUUUAUUAGAUUAUUAUUACUAUUAUAGUUAUUAUAAACCUUGCAAAGCAUAUAUAAGACCCUUUGCUAUUCCUCAGCAUCGCAGCAGAGAAAACCGAAAUGAUUUCCCAUUUUUAGCUUUAAUUUAAACUACCUUUCAUCAAAACUUAAGUUCCAAUAUGAUGUAACAACCUUUUAAUCCCACUCAAACCCAGACCAGUUGCUUAUUAGAGUUCAUAAAAUUAAACCGUAUUGGUAGGACGCGUGUUAGCAAAUUUAAUUAAGUUUACACCAACAUGAUUCCAACGUUAAAUUAAUAAAAAAUAAAAGAAAUAUUCAUAAUCUUGCCUCCAUCAGCAGCUUUCUCUACCAGUGGCAUUCUCGUAAAUCCAUCUCAUUAUUACCACGUCGCAUUGCACCACAGUGGCAUUCAUGUAAUUCCUGCCAAAAAAAAAACGUUAGUGGUUCUGAGGGGCAUUUUCGUAAUUACAUUGGGCGGUCGCAACAACCUCAUAACCGCCUCGCACGAACCCUCCCUAUAAAUCCCGCCCCACUCCCUCACUCCAUAUCCACUCCACUUCCCCUCUCUUUCUCUCUCUCUCUCUCUCUAGAAUUAUCCAACAACAAUGGCUUACUCUUUCCUCUACGCCCACAUCUACUUCACCCCCAUUCUCCUCCUCCUCCUCCUCCUCCUCGUCUCCUCCUCGUCUCCUCCUCCUCCUCCUCCUCUCGCCACCACAUGCGUCGUCAUCGAGGAGUUCCCCGACGGCCACUUCAACGUCUACAGCAACGAGUGCCGCGGCGAGAGCCCCUACUGCCUCUUCUCCUGCAUCCAACGCCAACAACAUCGCCUCCGAUCCCCCCUCUCCUCCGCCUACUCCUCCUCUGCCGCCGCCACCUCUUCGUGCUUCUUCAUCCGAUUCUUCGACAGCGGCCUCUCCACUGUCGGCCGCAUCAACUGCUCCGACCUCGACUACUGCUCCCUCUCCUGCCUCGGCACCGGGGAUCUGGCCACCGCGGGGGCGGAUCGGAGCUGCACCGAUCUCGCCAUCGACCUCCCCGUGUUCGAUUGGGAUUUGGGAGGAGGAGGAGGAGGAGAGGUGGAGUCGGCGGAGACGGCGAAGUGCGAGGGCGAAUCGAUCCCGGCAAUGGCCAAGUACGACGAGAUGUAGUGCUCUCUCUCUCUCUCUAUCUCUCCGUCUCGUUUUUUUUUUUUUUUGGGUAUUCUACGGAGGAGGAUUGCAUGCGUACGGAGAAACGUACGACACCAGUUCAAAAAAAGAGAAUGAAAGGAUUUAAUCUUUUUGCUUGUUCAUUGGUCCACGUGGCAUUUCACUUUACAGUGGCAUCCACGUAAUUUCACAAGAGAGAAUAAUUGUAUGACGAACGCGAUAACUAAUUGUACGUACCCUCUUCCCCACGUCAUAAAUAUUGUUGUACUAGACUAGUAACGCUACAGCUGCUAGGGUGCAUGUGAUGACGUGGUGCACCCGGUUCAGGGUCGUAAUCGCCCACCUCUCUCUCUCUCUCUCGAUUGAAGCUUCUAUUACUUCAUCAAUGGCGAUCUCCUCCUCUAUUGCUCUCCUCCUCUCCCUCUCCGCCGUCUCCUCCACCGCCUCCGACUCCUACUACUACUGCUACGUUUGCCGCGGCCGCAACCCCGUCGCGCGCACGCGGUGCCCGGUCGAGCUCCCCCGCUGCGACCUCAUCUGCUCCGCCUCCGACCUCUCCUCCUCCUCCUCCUCCUUCGCCGGCGAUCUCCGCCGCGGCGACGGCGGCUGCGGCGCCGAGUGCUACAUCAUGCAGCUGUACCACGACGGUAGCUACACCAUCCGCUACGUCGACUGCUCCGUCGUCCCCUACUGCAGGCUCCUCUGCAAGGAGAGCCUCCCCGCGCCAUGCAGCGCCCGAUCAUCCGAGAUGCCGAUCGAACCUCGUGGAGGCCUCGAUCGUUUCCCGCGAUGCGGCGACCAAAUCGCAAAUAUUGUGGUGGCGGAAUAAGGCAGGAACGAUAGGGAUUGAUCAGGUGAUGUGCUUUGAGAUUCGCGCAGACACGCCGAUAUCACCGUCUUGUUUUGUUGUUACACACUGUCACGUUGAGGAGCGGAAAUGAGUUUCAAAUAAUAACUAGAAAUUUAAUCACCUGUAAUAUAAGUGUGAAAUGGUGAACAUUAGCUGAAUUUGGAUAAGUGAUCAUGAGGUUUGAAAAGGAACGAUCUGUGUGUCAAAAAUCAUAAAAAAAUCUGAGGUAUCUCUAUAUAAGAAAUUGUAAGUUUAAAAAUCAUAUUAUUUUGGUAAUAACUUGUCCCCCAAAAAAAAUAAUCAAUAAUAUUAAAAGAGACACCGACCGUCCCUAAAAUAAGUAGCAAAAGGCUUGGUGGUUGAUAUCCGAGCUCUUAAGUUCGAAUCCUAGUUUAUUCACAUUUCUAGCUAAGCUUAUUUCUAAAUAAAAUAAACGAAACGGGUAGCGUGCUACCUAUCUCUCAAAAUAAAAAAAUUAAAAGAGACACUGGUUGAUAGAUAAAACGUAAGUUUCCAAAUCCUCUUAUAUAAAACUAUUAAAAAUAUCAUAAAGAUUUCUAAAAGAAUUAGAUUAUAAUUUUAAAAUUUUAUAAAAUAUUUAAAACGAGAAGUAGAAUAUAUACACGAAUGUUGCAGAGCACCUAGUCCACCACGUGCAUCAUCACAGUGAUCUACGCUCAUCCAUCCCUUCGUUUUCGAUCAUCAACUCUUUAAAUGGAAAUAAAUAAAUAAAUAAAUCCAGCAACUCAGCAACACGGUCUAUGAUGACGUGGUGGAUCAUUUCCAAAGCAAAAAGCUCUCUAACACCACACACGUUCCGACGUAGCAGGCGAGUUCGCGCGCAGUGGCAUUUCUGCAAUAUUGAACAAAACGAGGCCUUUUAAUUUAGAGUGGCAUGUCCGUAAUUAUUCCGAAACGAAUCAGUACGGACACCUUAAUCCUCCGUAACUAACCCCUCGGCCCACUCGAAGGUUCUAGACGCCUAUAUAUAGGGCACACCCCCCCCCCAUUCAGCUCCCCUCCUAUUCCCCUCUGUCGUCCUCUCUCUCUCUCUCUCUCUCUCUCUCUCUCUCUCUCUCUCUCAUGGAUCUCUCCUCCCUCCUCCUCCUCCUCCUCCUCCUCCUCUCCUCUUCCCUUCUCCUCUCCUCCGCCGCCGCCGCCUCCGCCGCUGCAGUUCCCGGCGGCGCCUCUCCCACCUCCGCUCCGUUUCCCCUCUACUACACGUGCUACCUCUACCGCCUCAUCGACGACGACGUCCGCGUCCUCGUCGACCUCACCCGGUGCGAGGACGACGAAUCCCCCUACUGCGCCCUCAUCUGCCCCGGGGCGGACCCCUCUCCGCCGCGGCCGCCGCCGCCGCCUCCCGAUUCCCCGAUCAUCCCCUCCGGCGCCGGCGCCGACGACAUGGUCUGCUACAUUGUCCAGAUGUACGACAUCUCCCGCUACGACAGCUUCUUCGUCGACUGCUCCCUCAUCGGCCGCUGCUCCCUCGGGUGCUCAUCGCAGCCCCCUCCCUUUCCGCCUCCCCUGCCGCCGCGAGAAGGAGAGGAGGGCUCGGAUCUCCGCGGAUCUAGGGUUUCGCGGGGGGACCGAUUGUUCGUUGAGUGUACUCCCCCCGACGAUCCGGGGGCUAGGGUUUCGACGGCGGCGGCGGAGGGAGAGAUCUACGACGCGACGGAGCUUUUGGUCGAUGAGAUGUGAUAAUGUGGAGGCGAACCUCUAGCUAGGGUGAGAGAUCUACGCGUCUAUUAAUUGCAUGCCCUUUUCUAUUAUUCUCGUUUCCGUUUUUGAUUCGCUUCUUUCUUGUGCGUCAAAGAGGCCUAGGGUUCGGAUCAGUGCACUGUGGACUAUUAUAAGCCUCCUCCCAUUGCAGGUUCGGAGUGGUACGUUCACAAGUUUUCAUCAGAUAUUAUAGAACAAUUUGGAAAGCUCCCAGGUAUAUACUCUCUCUCUCUCUCUCUCUCUAUCUCGCUCUCUCUAUUUGUUUGGUUUACGGCGUAAUUUUGGCGAUAUACAAAAAGUGAUAGAAUUCAAAUUCUUUGCUGCAUUAAUCCUCCACUUCUUUGGUUAGAAAUUUUCUCGUGGACCAAGUCCACCACAGCAAUGUUCUUAAUCCUAAAUGCCCUAACCAUUAAUAUUCUAAUUGUAAUUGGUAAGACGCAUAUCGGUGGAGUAUGGGGGAUCAUUGAUAAGGGAGGUGAAGUAGGAGGCCAUAGGUUAGAAUCUCACCCGUGAAGGACUCUAAUAAAUAAAUAGAAUUGUAGAGAAUUAAGCUCAUCAUUUUUUUUAUUAAGAAAUAGAAAAGAAAAAAAAAAUCAUUAGAGCUGAUUUGCAAUCAAAAUAGUCCCGUAUAUUUAGAUGUAAUAUCUUUUAACAAAUUAAGAGAAAUAAUUUGGGCCAUUCGCUACGUGUCUCAAAUUAUAUUUUCGAUUAGUUAGCUUACGUAUGUAGAGAUUUGUGGUUAUGAUUUAAAGUUUAAUGAUGUAUAUAAUAUAACUAGGGUUAGAAUUUAAUAAUGAUGAUGCCAGUACCCCGACAACAUAAUGAGAACGUACACCGGGAUAUCCGUAGCAUUGUUGAACUUUUAAUAUGCAAGACAAGGUUUUUGUUUUUUUUUUUUAAAUUAUAAUUAAGAUGGAAAACUGGUGCGUGGUCAAGUAUGGUCCAAGCAAUAAAUUUAUUCAUGAUGGUACCUGGCAACAGCUCAUCAGUGUAUGGGUUGUACGUGUCGAAGCUGCAUCCGGAUCCAAUAAGCUACCGGAGCCCUAUUAGUCCAAAAUCGCACUUCAUGUUAAUUUCACUACUCGGAUCCAAAUCCACCUAGUUUCCGCUGAUUUAAAUGUCGCUCCUAACCCAACAAAAUCGCAGUUUCCAUUUGGAUCCAAAGUCCACCUAAUUUCCACUGAUUUAAAUGUGGCUCCUAACCCAACAAAAUUGCAAUUUCCAGUUGCAUACGGGCUCAGCUAGAAGGCUACGUAAGUAAUUAAACGUUCGGAUCCUCCAUUAAUUAAAAUUCAUAAUCCUACGAAUCUUUUCCCCGAAAAUAAAAAAAUUUACUGCAAAUAAUUAAACACUAAAAUCGGCAUCACAGGUAAUUGUACUCGAUCCCGAACAAUUACUUCACACUCUGGUUCAAAACAUCUCCAUCUAAUCCCAGAGGUUAAAUUCAAAAAAACGAGUUAGUCUUCGGCGAAAUUAGGCGUGAUUUUGCUGAUUCUCUUUUUUUUUUUUUUUUUUUUUUUUUUUUUUGGAGAUAGGAUUAGUACACUAGGCGCUUCGUUUAUUUCAUUUAGAAAAAAAACUUAGCUGAAAAUAUGAAUCAACUAGAAUUCGAAUUUAGGAUCUCGGAUACAGGCCAACCAUCAAAUUCUUUGCACUUGCUCUUAGGGACGAUCAGUGUUUUUUUUUUUUUUUUUUUUUUGUGCCAAUUCUCACCCUCUAGAAUUGAGUAUGUCUGUUUUCCCCUAUUUUCGUCCCUCCCUAAAAUGGAGCAGGUGAGGGUCUUCCUCCCAUCCGAAUUUGAAUGGUUGUUUAAACCAAAAAAAAAGAAAAAAAGAAAAAACAGAAAAAGAUUAAAAAACAACAAUUUUUAAUGCAUCAGUGAACAGUAGUUCCGAGCAAAUCAACAAAAAAAAAAAAGAAAAAAAGAAAAAAAAUAUGAUCAGGACUUUUUAUUAAUUACAAGACAUACUUCCGACAGUCUCACCGCCGAAAAAUUUUAGAAUAUAUUAAUUAUAUUAAUAACUGACGUUCCUAACCAAUCAAAUAAUUUUUUUAAAUUUAUUAGUCCCGUCAUAAUUAUAAAAAAAUAUUUUUAUUAUAUUUUUUUUUCAAAUGAAAAGGUAUGAUUAACUUGUUAUUAAUGAUGUGGUACAAAGUAGGAAUCUUUGUGGAAUGCAAUAAAUCUGCAACCAAUUCUGUUUGAUAUCCAUUCCACUAUAAGCAACAAAGAAAGAGGCAAAAAGUACAGUAAGCCAUUAGAAUGGGUCGUUAGCAAUAUAAAGUGGAACAACACUACAUUAAGGCCGCAGCAAUAAUCACAUCAUUUACAAAAGGACAUAGUCCUUCACCCCUCCCAUACAAACACACUUCUAAGUUCAUCUCUAAUUACAUCCUGCACCCAAAAAGAAAGAAAAAAAAAGCAAAAGCAGAAAUAACAAAUUACAUCAUAAAACAACAAAAAAAUUACAACACAAUUCCAAGCAAAUAGAGGGGAACAACUACACUCGGACGUGAGAGUAAGACCACAAGAAGACUACUCUUAAACUUCUUCGGCAAGCACUAGUAGUGGAACUAAUUGUUAAUUAGCGGGAAAAAAUAAUACAGGUUGGUGCACCAGAAUAUUUCAUUUUAUCAUGGUGCAAAAGAAACAAGGGGGAAAAAAAGGACUUCAAAGAGGGUUAAAUAAUCUACAAGGAACAGUGGUUCAUGAUGAUAUUGGCUCGUAAGGGUAGGAGAGCCACGGAUGCUUCAGUGCUUCAGAUGCACUCGGUCGCUUCUUAGGGUUGAUCUCGAGAAGGUAAGUGACAAAGUCUAUAAACCCUUGGUCACCCAUCGGCAAGCGGUGCUGUAGUGACGUCUUUUUCGGCAUCAAGUACUCGAGCCUGUUCGUUUCCUGAAAUAGAUAUUAGUUCAAGUAAAACUUUAUGCCAUACCAACUGUGAAGAGGCACGAAAGAAGUCUUUUUUUCUUCUCGUUUCUCUUUUCUUUUUUAUGAGAAUGGAAAGAGUAAUUGAACUGAAAGAUAUUUACAGUGCGGCACCAAAAAUAUAAUUAAUUACGCAUGCCCACAAAAUUUUGGGUUUUAACCGACCCCAAGACAUUAAGCAACUGAUCAAAGUGCCCAGGCACAGCUAAAGAAAUCACUUCCAGUAUAACAGCUAAAGAAAACCUCAGACUAACAAUAGUACAAAAUAGAUCAACUAACGGAAAACAACGGCAUUAGACACUAGUUUAAUUAAACAGAAGUUCAAAGUCAAAUUGCUGAACAGCAUUGGCAAUGUUAUUAGAGGCACAAAAAAUUUGAAAAAUGAAGCAAGAUUCUUAAAAUGACCGAAGUAUAUGAGAAAAUGUAGAAAUGUUUUCCCAAAGACUUAACAGUUUCACAUUAACAGAUAACUGAUCAGAAAUCAAAAACAUUCUGGAGGCUCCUAAGUGAUCCAAAGUAUAGCCAGCCUAAUCUGUCUAAACAGUUCUGCUUUGUAAAAAAUUCAGCCCAAACUGAACAUGUCUGUGCACUUCCAUUGCGUCUAACAUAUAAAUGCUCAAGGGAAACAGAAAAUAUCAAAGGCCAAACCUGAUUUCUUUCGUACAGUAUGUGGUUCUUCGUAAAACAUUUGUAGGUAUCUCGUCCCUCGGCAAGCAUACCUUGCUCAAUGGGGCCUAUGAUUCCAAUUACACGUGCCAGUAGAGUUGCAGGAGAAUCAUUUUGGAAAAGAACCUGCGGGAAGUACAAAGAAUUACUUCAAAGUACAUGAAGAGCAACUUGUCCUUCUGCUUCUUUGGGCCUAGGCUUUUCUAGUCGGUUCAUGGAAAAGAGUACAAUGGCACUCAACUUCCAUUAAUAAACAUUUGACCUCCACUACAAUUAAAAAAAAAAAAGAAGAAAAAAAAAAAGCUUAGUAUUGUGCCUUGAAGAGACAUCUCAUUGUUGGAAGUAAUGUCUCCAAACCCUGGAAAAAAGGAGGAUUGAAGGGAGGAUUUUUUUUUUUUUUGUUUUGCUUUGUUUUGUUUCGUUUUGUUUUUUAGAGCAAGUUCAUAGCAAUUCAUUCAUUCAUCACUACAGAUAGAGAUGCAUCACUAAAUGCAGAGAUAAAUCCUUGAUACAAAUGUGAAAAAUGAGGAGUUGGGUAAUAUUACCUUAUUUGUCAAGAGCAGGAAAGAGUUAAAAGAGUCGUCAAAGAAUAGCUUUGAGUAUUUAAUAAUCUCAUUUCCCCGUUUUACUAAAAUGACCUAUAAAUGCCAAUCUACACUUUCUUGAAUAUCUAACUAAAUCAGGGGACACUUAAGAAAAGAUCGAAUUUAAAUGUCAUGUUCUAGUGGUCUACUAAUAACAUUUUAUGGACCUUGCCCUAACCAACCAUUAAUCUAAAUAGGAUCAUAUAUUCGUAUAUAGCAUACGGAAACCCUCCUUUUAUUGUAUCGGAAGUUCCAAUUCACAUUUUGUAGUCCAGAAAUGUAAAUCAGCAAAUAUGCCCAUAAAAUAAAGGGGAUACAGUAACAAACCAACCAGCAAUUACAAAUACUAUUUGCAUAAUUAGAGAUCUCAUGGUGCACUCUUUUAAUUGCAGUAUACACCUAGAAGUGCUCUUAGGGCAUGUUUGGUUCAUGAUUGGAAUAGAAAUGGAAAAUGGAAUAAUGAAUCAUAAAAAAUUGUUUGGUUCAUUAUUGGAAUGAAAAUCGGAAUAAAAAUUUAGAAUUUUUGAGAGAGCGUUUUGAUGAAGAGAGAGGAAAGUGAUGACGGGAGAGAAGGUAGCUGUUGGUGAAAGAGGAUUUUGAAUAGUUUACUUUGGAAUAGGCAAAUCCGGGAUUCAAAGCUGGAUUGGGCCAUAAAUGGAUUUGGCCAUUCCCAUUCCGGAAUGAAAUGGGAACCGGAAUCCGAUUCCUAUAAACCAAACGACAACUAUCGGAAUCAAUUAAUUCCAUUCCGAUUCCAUAAUCUAAAAUAGGUGAACCAAACAUGCCCUUAAAGUAGUACGCAACCAAGUCUAUACCACCAAUUGCUUCAUUAUUACAGCUCGCAUCUACAAGAUUGUCCAUGUAUCAGCAUGUUGCAGGAAGGAUGCUCUUUUACUCUAUCAAGUAAAAGAGCCACUUCUUACCUUCCACUGGACCAAUAUGACUCAAACAAACAGAUCAAAAGAAGUAAUGCAUUCAUCCCACCACAUCACUAGAAACGAUUUGAUAAUUAUUCUAAAUUGCCCUGAAAUUUGUAAGAAAUUCCAAAAAUCUACACAGAAAGAAUUAAAAAGAAAAAAACAGUAACUUACAUUUCCAGUGCAAAGUUCAGCCAGGAUGCAUCCAAGUGACCAUAUAUCGAUCUUUUUAUCAUAUGGGAGGCCCAAAAUAACCUCGGGUGCACGAUAAGAUCGCGACUGUACAUAAGAACAUAAAUGAUCUGUUUCAAAGCAGCUACUUCCAAGGUCGAUGACCUUCACUUCGCACCUACUGUAGCUCUUUACCAAAAUAUUUUCCGGCUUUAAAUCACAAUGAAUAAGACCGAGUCCAUGAAGAAACUGAAGUGCUUCCAGACACUGAAUAGUGAUUGACUGCAAAAUUGAAAUAUGAGGAGCAAUUAACAGUUAGGCACUAAUCAUGGAAGAAAGGUAUUGGGAUACUUAGAAAUAAAAAGCUACCUAUGUUUCUCCAAAAUAGCAAACUACCCAACAUAGAUAUUGGGGUAUUUUAGUAAGAGAUGCAAUAUGGAGGUUUCUAUGAAGAUUCAGAUUUUACAGGGGCAUAUAAAUAAAUUGAUGAUUUGUCGGCAUACACAUGUAAAAGCAACAAAAACAUUUUAAGCGAUAAAAUCAUGAAGUUAGGCAAUAGGGUUUGUGUAAACCAACCUGCAACCUUGGCAUUGUGAAGUAAACCUCCCCUCCAGAUUCUCUAUUGAAUUUGUGAAAUUCAUAUAAAUUUGCCUUGAGAAGCUCGCAAACAAUUAGUAAGUGUUCCUGCAAAAGCCAACUUCAUCAAUUAAACAGCAACAAUCUUGCAUGUGUAACAAAGAAAAUUGGCCCCAGGUAUAAAGUAUGGAGAGAAGCACAACAAUUCAAGGAGGGAUUCCCCUCAUCAUUUUCUAUCGACAUGCCCUGUUGUAACCUCAUCUUCCAAAUAGCACUAGCUCUAAAUAUAUUUUACAUCUCCCAAUCACUAGAUUUACUUUUGUGACGCUCCAAUAGUCCCCACAUCGAAUGGAAAGGGAAUUAUGACUGAAAAUAUAAGGACCAGGGACUAUAGUAUUAAUAACUAGAUUUAAGCAUUUUGGGCCGGUGGUUUAGAGCCCAAUGAGUUAUUAGCGCUAGUGGGCUGAGUCAUUACAACUUUAAGCGAAUUCAUGACAUAAGAUCAAUUUAAGGGUAAUCAAAAACCCUGGGAAUUGACUUUUUAUUUAAAUUAUCUGUGUGCAUCUUUCGCUGCAUGUGGUUUUUACUUCUUUAUUAUUUUUGAAUGUUGUUAAUGGAAUUGCGCAUAUGUUUGCUUAGAGAAAUGAUUGAGGGAACCAGAGGCAGUAGGAAAGAAGAUUUCCCCUGCAACAUGAGCCCUAAUAGACUAAUACUGAAACAAGAUAUAGCUCCUCUCCUCCUUCCACUUGCAAAUUAAUUAGAUUAUUUUAAUAGUAGCCAAUCCUCCAAUCAACUUUUUCUUGUAGUUAUCGAACAUGUCAAAUGCUUGAAAAUAUGUGUGUGUGUGUGUGUGUGUGUGUGUGUGUGUGAACGACCUUAAUAACUAUCAGGCAAGUGCACCAUCUAGAGAAGAGUAUAGAAAACAAUACCAACCAUUACCUAUAAUCAGAGAAAGAAAACCAUUACCCAUAAUCAGAGAGAAAAUUUAUAAUAGCAGCCAAAAGGAUUGGUAUCAAAGUUCAAACUUACCCGGUAGUAGAAGUAGUCGUACAAGCGCAGGAUAUGAUAUUUGUCCCCGGGAUCAUGCUUGUUCACAUACUUUAAAAGUUUGAUCUCAUCAAGGCUCUGAUCAAAAAAAUCUUUGUUGUUCUUUAUUAUCUUGAUGCAUACAUCCACGCCAGUGUGCAAGUCAUGCGCUUGAAUGGCCUUGCUGAAUGCAGCUGAGCCAAGGUACUCAGUGACGUGAUAACGUCCAGCUAUCACUGAAUUUGGCAUGACGUGAAAAUUUUUGUCUUCCUCAAACCCAGUUCUGUUAAGUUAACACACACAAAUAGAGGAGGGAGUAAAAACAUCAGACAUCAUAACAAGAGUAUUUUCCAAAAAGAAUGAUAAAUAAAUAACAAAAAAUGUAUUUCACAAAAUAACAAACAGGAAAAAGUUACUAGCAUAAACAAGAGGAGAAAUUAUCGAGCGCAACAGGUGCACCACCUAAGCGAGCGCGCCGCCCAGUGAUCAGCACUCCAUUCUUCUCUUACUUCCGUCCCCAUUGUCCAAUGCAUUGCAGACCAUAAUUAAUUUAAAAAGCAUUUUCUUUUAUAUUGUCCAAUUACAAGUAUGAGAUAAGAUGGAGGGCAAAUGCUGAGUGGUGGAGACGAUAACAUCUCAAACACUAAUGGUUCAGAUUGAGGAAAACAUCAGCACAAAAGGCAAUUAACACAUACAUUCAUUAAUCAGUUAACGCAUACCAUAAUGAAAUAUACAUCUAAAUGAACAAACCUGUUUUUUCUGUGCACAAUCUUAAGUUCAAAGGUCUCGAACUCCUCUUCCUGAGCUUGUAUCUGUCUCACUUGUUCCUGCAACGCUGCCAGUUCUUCAUCCUCUAGAGUGGACGCUGGAUCUUCUUCUUGUUGAUUAUUUACUUCAUGAUCAUUUAACUUGUUGAUAUCCCCUGUUAAAGCAUAACUGUAGUUUGAUGCCGAUGAAGCAGUUGAGUCCCUCGAUCUAAUAAUAUCAGAACUCUUUUCAUCACCAAUUUUUAGGCCAUUAUCAUAUUCUAUAGAAUCAUCAUCAAUAACAGUACUGCCCCUGUUUGACCGUAUAGGUCUACCGGAGCUAGCCUCCAUCACAUCUUCAGUGCUAAUCGGUGAUGGAAAAGAAAAUACAGCCUUCUCAAAAGCCAUUGUGUUAUUUCUAUGAUCAGGUUUUAUUCCCUUCAUAUUAUCACUUGAAUUUCUUUUCGCAAUGAUACCAACAUCGUGAUCAUGAAAAUACUCCAAGUCCCCUUCACUACUUCCUCCAACCAAGCUUUCACGCACUUCACUGCCUAUAUCAGCAGCAUCGCUGCUUAUUCCCACGCCAAUCGAUCUGACUGAGCCAUGAUGAUCAUCUUCCACAAAGGUCUCAUCAGGUCGCGCUUUGCCAUUUCCUAGCAUAACAAGUUCAUUAUUUUGAGUGACGAAACCCCGCCAAACCGGUUCACCACGCAUCAAUUUUAGCUCUUCAGCAUCCAUAAGCUCCCCGUCAUACUGAGCUAUCAAAUCAUUUUCACUCGUCCUAAGUCCCAUCGACCCCUUUGAAGAGGCCACACGGUCAAUAUUCUUUGCCUGGAAAUAUUGCUCGCCUGACAAGCAAGAAUCUUCUUCUUCUUCUUCUUCUUCUGCAAAAGAAUGAUCAUCAUCAUCAUCAUCAUCAUCAUCAUCAUCCUUCAUGGGGGGACGGUCUGGUUGGUCUAGGGCACUCCCUGGACCAGGUCCACCAUUUCCCUUCUCAUUGUCGCUCGGAUAGUCAAUCUCGUGUGCUAGAAACCAGGCUUCGUCCUCAAUUGGUUGCCGUGUGUAACCCACAUCAUCGUCAUCAUCGUACUCGUCGGAAUCCCAAUAAUCAUUCGGAUAGUCGAGUGACUCAUCACCAACAGCAGCAAAGCCAGAUACUAGAUCAGAAGAAUCCUCAGCAAUGCCUUGGCUAACAGAAAGCCAACUAUUUCCAAUUGUUCUCUUCCCACCUGCAAUUAAAGUCGUUGGGUUUCUGGUUAAAAUACAAAUAAAAUAAAUGCAAAUGAAAAAGAAAAAUAACAGGACUAUGAUGCACCAUAAAACAGUGUAACAGUGGCACCCCCAAGACUAAUUGACAGUGUAAUGAAUAUCACACAUGAAAGGAAGGAACAGCUAGCCAGCGAAAGCGCAGAAAAAUUCAUUUAUUUUCGAGUGAUUCAGGGCAAAUCAUUCGGUUAUAACAUGUAAAUAAGUCUGAGUAUAUACAAAAGACCAUCGUUAUAUGAUUCCUCGAGACAAAACAAGACGGACCCAAAAUGCGGGUCAAUUGCGGGCUCACCAACAUGCAUUGGGUAGCAACGAAAGAAAAAAAAAAUGGAAAAAAGAAAUACGACAACACAACUUGUAUCUACAGAACCAAGGAUUUAAGUGUCGUGGCACGAGAUCGUGCCGGAAACUUGCCGGCACGGUACGACACGGUGCGUGCCAAGCCGUGCCGAUCAAAAAAAUUCUUGUGUGCCGACACAUAAUAGCAUGAAAUAUUUAUUUUCUUUAGCAACAAAAUAUUCUAACUAUUUAUUAUUUUUUUAUCACAUCUUUUGAACUUUAUCGAGGAAAUUACUUACUAAUUUAAAGAAUAGAGGAUUUUGAGCUGUGCCAUCGGCACGGGGUCUAUAUCGUGUUGGUAUCUUGUUGGCACGGUACGACACGGUGAAUACGGCCCGUGCCAACACGUACUUAAAACCUUGUACAGAACAAUGCAUUCUCUUUGGAUCAAUCCAUGGGUGGCCCAAUAGACCGGACGUAUUUAAUAUUUUCCAUAAGUAGUUAAAAGCAUGAAACAAAACAAAUAAUAACUUCUACGAAUUCCGCGUACCUGAGGAGCUGAUCUCUUGCCCAACAGGGACAUCAAGAAAAGACCCAAUCAAACAGCCGUUGUCUCCGUUCGCUAUCCUUGGCCCCAACACAUGACUCUUUUCCUCCCAAUUCGUAUUAGCUAACUUUUCUUCGGACUUAAGCUUUACAGGAGGCAGUCUCGGCAGCUCUUCCCUUUGUUUCUCACCGAUCGGAGGUAAAUCCAAUUUCUUAUCACUAGUUUUCAGAUCCGCACUUUCACAAAGCUGCUCCUUCGUUUCAAUAGCUUCAUAAUCCCUCUUCAUCUCUCCGCCGCCAUUCCCAUUACCAACAGAACCGUCGUAACUGCACGAGGCAUUGUCGCCAGGAAAUGGGAAAAGCGUCUUCACUGAACACCCCUUCGGCGGUUCAUCGUGCUCCAACCAAAGGUUGUCUGGAAAAUAGCUUUUCGGAUUAGCAUCGCUAACCCUAAAUCCGGAAUUUUGGCUCGUAUCCGGUCUCUCUUCGACAUCCAAUUUUCCUUUCCCACUUCCACCAGAUCCAUUUCCCGCAGCAGAAUCCCUCUUUUCCGCCAUCAAUGAUUUGCCUCGAUGCUUGGGCUCCCCUGAUAUAAAAAUUUCCGCGAAUUUCUCUGCAAUGCUACCGCUCUCCUUCGAAAAGGAGACGGAAUUACUAUUACUAUUCUCUGCAUUGGGGUUCAGAGGGUACAGGUCUCCGGAUCGAUUCUCUCGAAGUUGACUACAACCAAAACCGUUCGCAACUUCGCUCCCGUUCUCGACGCCCCCGACUCCAAUCUCCUUCACAAUGAACUCUUUCAAGAACCCCGCGCUCCACAAUUCCGCAUCUCUCCCUCUCGAAUCCCUUGCUUCCGCAAGGUUAUUCUCAAGUAGCCCAUUCGAAUCCGAUCGGCCGUUCAGCUCCCUGCGAAGCGCGGCCUCGGCCUUGGCGAAUCGGUUCUUCUUCAAGAACUCCAAAACCACAUCAACCGAGUCCACCAUCUUUCCCCUCAAGAGAACAGAACCCAAAUUGCUACGGCAAAGCAGGAGGAAAAAACCCUGCAGAUUAACACCAAGAUGACGAGUUCACGCGCUAUUCGAUCUCAUUCCUUCCUGAAGCUUCGUUUUCGACUCGACAAAAAGAAUACACAGGAAUGUGACUAGAUGAACAAACCCUAACCCGACCACGAACCCUAACCCUAACUCUAGCAUUAUCAAAAUUUCGAGGGCUGGACGAAACCCUAGCCCUCGAAACCGAAUCCGAAGAGAGAGAGAGAGAGAGAGAGAGAGAGAGAGAGAGAGAGAAUAAGGAGGAGGAGGAGGAGGAGGUCGAAGGGUUCACCGAUCUCGCGGAGGAGGAGGAGGAGGAGGAGCGAGCCCACGGCGCUCUACGGCGGCGGCGGAGGAGGAGGCGCUAGGGAUUUGGGGCACGGAUCUCGAGGCGGAGGCGGAGGCGGAGGCGGAGGCGGAGGAGGGAGGUGGAGCUCGACGCCAUUAAUGGCGAAGGAGGAGGCGGAGGAGGAGGGAGGAGCGGCGACAUGACGACGACGACGACGACGAGGACGACGACGACGACCACGUCAUCUCGUUACCACACAGGAUUAUUACAGGUGAGGAACCGGUCGGAAAUAUUCGCGUCCGAGGAGAAAUAAUAAUAAUAAUAAUAAUAAUAAUAAUAAUAAUAAAAAUAAAAUUUAUUUAUUUAUAUACUAAAAUUGAGUGGAGAUCAAAUUAAACUCCAAUUGUGGACGUCUUUUUUUUUUAGAGUUUAUGAAUUGUUGAUUUUGAUAUUGCUUGGUGCUUAGAAUAUCGAUUUUCAAAAUUAAACUUUAAUUAGAACCUUUUAUUAAAGUUUUUUUUUUAGGAUUUCGCACUAACUUAUAGCCUCUCUUUUUUUUUGUCGUGAGUAUUAAUUUUUUGAGUGUUUAAUUAGUAUCAAAAUUAUAGAUUUUUUAGAGGUUGUAAUUAAUGUUUACAACCUUCUAAUUUGGAUUGAGUUUCCAAGGUUUGGAGAUUGUAUGGUAAUUUUCUUUCUAAGAAAUGUAUAUUUGAAUUCAUAAAAAAAUUAUAAAAAUAUCAUACUCAUACGCUCUAAACAUAUAAAUUUAUCAUUCAUAUUCCUCUAAAAAUAUAAAUAUAUGGUAACAAAUACCUUUCUAAACCCUUCAAUGUAUAUAAGUACACCAAUAAUACUCAAAAGGCUAUUCAUAAAAUUCCGAACUUUCAUAAAGGCAUUGAAGAAAUUAAUCCUAAAGUUAAAAUGUACUGGCAAGGAAAAAUACUUAUUAUACACUCUAAAAAAAAAAUUAAAAAGUAUAUCUUACACCCGUAAUUUUAGAAUUGAAAAAAAUAAAAUUAAUUUUUUUAAAAAAUUUAAAAAAUUAAUAUGAUAAAAAUGAUCCUAGAAUAAAGUGAAUGUAAAAAAUAUAUUCUACUUUAUGAUGUACUAUUAUUCUUCUUAUUCCAAUCUAACUAUUUAAAUAUUAUGCAUCUUAUUUUUAGAAACAACUCAAUUUUUAUCCAAACGUUAAAUUGAUCUAAUUUUUAUUUAUAUCUUAUACCAAUUUCUGAAAUAAACAGUUUUUAUUUAUAUCCGAAUCAAACACAGCCAAAAGUGUAUUGGCAAAUAAUAAGUCUCGCAUUAUGCCCGUGUGGCGAACGGUGCAAAAGAGCAAAGUCAUUGGGGGACGGACCAAUGAACACGAAUGUUUGGAGAUGAUCACGAUUUGCUAGUUCAUUGGGUCCCACAUGAGCCCCACAUGCAUGUUAUGUUCUUUUCACGCAAUAGCGAGUUCGCGUACGGAUCCAACUCACGGCGUGUAAACGGUUUGGAUUCGGGAUGAAUUUUUAAAAAUUACAAUCCAAAUCCCACCAUUAAACAUGAAAUUUGAAUCCGAAUUUAAAUCUGAGGAAUUGUAAAAAUUAAAAAAAUUUUGAAACUCGAAACCAAAUCUAAAAUAAUUAUUUUUCUUUACCAUAGCUUUAAAAUUAUAUCACAUUAAAUAUAAAUUUUUAAAAUACAAAUUUAAAUAUUUAUAUAUAUUAUAUAAUGUAAGCUUAAUUCGGGUUCAAGUUGAGUUCUGGUCGGGUUCAAGUACGGAUCGAGUAUAGGUAAAAUUCAUAUCUGAAUUCAAAUUGGUCGGAUUUCGUUCUUUAUAUUCAUAUUUGAAACUAUAUCCGUUUAGUAUCAAAUAAAUUUUGUUCGAAUUCAAAUAAAAUUUCGGAUAUCUGUACUUAUUGACAUCCCUAAUCAUGUGCCGAGAGGGUGAUUUAAGGUCCAUUCUACAACUAGAAAUUUAGAACUCUGCUACUUCAUUGGGUUAGUUUUGUAAAUACCAAACAUGCCAUAUUGCAGGAGAUUUUUAUUGACUUAAAUGGACCAGUAUUCUGCCCUGUGGUGGAAAAUCAGAUUAGACUAAGUCAAAUUUGAAAUUUUAUGAGGCUGAGUUGGGCCGAGUCAUGUUUGAAAUGGCGUGAGACUGGUUGGGCUGAGUCGUAAUGGAAAUCCAUUGGCGCUGUAUCUGUACGCUUUAAACGAAUUAGUUGUAUAUUUCUAAUAUCUGAAAUUUUUUGGAUUAAUGGUUAGUACCAAUGAUCCAAAAAAAUAUUAUUAGUCGUAUACUGUACAGCAUAUAUAACUUUGCCCUGUAACAAUUAUGAAUUUUUCUUUCUUCUUUGCGACAAGCAAUGACAUAUUCUUUUUUUUUAAAUUAAAUUAGUUAUUAUUUGCAUAAAGAUCUGUUUCUUUUUUUUCUCCAUAUAUUUUUUAAAAAUUUUCUUCUCUAAAAUAAUUCAAAUUAUUCAAUUUUUGAAUAGUAUUCAAAUUUUGAAUAACUUUAUUACAAGACAUUUAAAACUUCUUUAUUGAAUAACUUUCUAUAUGUAUUUUACAAAACUAAUUUUAUAACUUAAACAAAACUAAAAAAAUUAAAAACUUGAACGUAAAACAAACUAUAGAAAAGGGUUUGGUGGUUGGUACCCGAGGUCUCAAGUUUGAAAUCUAGUUAGUUCACAUUUUUAACUAAGUUUGUUUUUAAAAGAAAUAAACGAAACA